GUCGUCACCGAGGAUCCUUUGAUAUGCCCUCACACAAGGCACUUGCUGGUGUUUCAUCCAAAAACUUUUUAUUCCGUCCACCAGAGCUGUAACUAACUGCAAGCUUGUUUGGUUGCCCGAAUGGACCGGCAUGCCACUUUGUACCCACACUGGUGGACAUGUAGGAGUUGAACUGGUGGUGUCUUUUGACCUUAAGCUUAUUUGUAUAUGUAUCAAGUGUGUACUGAAAGUUACAUCUUUAGAACUGAUACGGCGUUGUCAUUCAUUAGCACAGUAUGUUUAGCCUUUUUUGUGGACCUGCGGCCGUCUACUUAUUUUUUGUGGAGUACCAUGUUAUGUCAGCAGUUAAUGACUUGCUGUGCUGUGUUGAAAGUGUUGCUGCUAUUUUUUACGAUGUGUUUAUGCUGAUACGAUUACAGUUUCAACUAAAUUGCAACCUGGCCUGGCCGAACGCAAUUGCAACCUGUGAAGAACUCUUAUUUCAUACGUAGAACUAAAUUAGUGUCUUGCCAAACCUUUGCCCAUGCUGAAAAAGAAGCGGUUAUUCAUCAGAACUUGUAAGCGGAAAAAAUGGGAAUUUGGAGGGAUUUUUGUAGGGUCCCCAACCUCAACCAAACAAAGCAAUGUUCGUUGUAAAUUUAUUUUCCAAUUAAAUCGUCUUGUUUUGCCGCAAAAUCAUUUAAAAGUGUGGCAGUACCCAACGUUUUAAGUGCAUAUAGGAGAAGCUUUGCAAACCAAUGAGCACAAAGCAUGUGGAGGUAAACAAGAAACCACUAAUUUCUGCGUGUGAUUUUUGUUGCUAUUUCUAUUAUAUUUCACAGUUCAGCUGGAGGACAUGUAUAAGAAAAUAAGAGGGGGUGGUGUUAAUUUAUGGUUCUUUGAUGCGGCCAUGCGGGAAUGGGAAAAGUCGAAGAAGAGGGAAUGUGCGCGGAAACUUGAAAUGGUGCCCGAGCGUGGAACUACCUAUAGGUACUAGUCGAAAAAACUGCGUAAUAUUAGUUGAUUUUUUUUUGGAAUAAUAACAAUACAUUGGUAUCGGUAAAUUCAAAACAAUUGUAUAUCAAUGCUUAAUGACCGCGAAGAUGGUUUCUUGUAUAAGAGACGAUCUGAUCAUCUCUUCUCAUUAAUUAUGUGCUACGUAGACAAAGUUCUAAUAUGGCAUAUGCUAAGAGACGGCGGCAAAAAUCUGUAAAUGAGAACUACUUUAAAUACAACACUUAAAAUACAAUACAUCAAGAUGGCUGCCUUCAACAAUCUGUAAUCUCCUAGGAGAGCAUGUUAAGAGACAAUGCAUUGGGACAUUUGUGUUGGCGAUCUUCCCCUAUUGAUAAUAAUAUUGUAUAGUAGGUUAUAGUCGAAGAAAAAGAGAUCACACAAUCAUGUCCAUUACUACUUAAGAUUGGGGUAGGCCCACCAGACGAUCGAGAAUUUUAUUUGAGACCAUUUCCAUAAUUAUUUCACAGGACCAAAGGCCCCACACAUCAUACACAAUGUACUGCCACCAUCAAGCACAUGUCAUACACAAAAAUAUCAUGGGACCGGUUCUCAUUUGCAACUUUGUUCCUAUACACCGUCGGAGGGGAAAUUCAUCGCCUUCUUCAUCAACAUCGAUCAUCGCUGCUCCAGUAUGAGUUGUGAGUAGACCACCCCCCGGGCUAUGGAUACAUGGGAGUAGCCAAUAUGUAAUGGCCACUUGAUUCGACUAUCAUGAUUGUGGUCCAUAUGAUGAGUACUUUGCGACGAUGUUCAUCAUGUGAUGAAUUAUUCCUUUAUGUUUAGAUCGCGUGAAGCUUAUGUUUGGUUUAUAGGUGCAUAUUUCUCUUUGAUUAUUUAUCUUGUCUUGGUCAAUUUAGAUGUGUAAUCGGUAGAGGGAGCGGUGUGCAUUGGUUGUGUGUAACCUUGCAAGUGUUAUUGACGAUGAGGACAAUGGUAUACUAAACUUGUUUGUCCCGGGAUGAGCCAGAGGCUUAGUGGAAUAUUAUUCAAGUGUAUGUCAUCUUGCUCAAAGCAAUUAUAUGUCAUCAUUGCUUAUACCCGAAUGAUCUAGAGGUCAACAACACAUCUUACAUAUAUGUAUGGAGGGUCUCGAUCUAUGGAUUUAUGGACACACUACCUAUAUAAUAUCAACAACACAUCUUACAUAAUUUGCAUAAGCACGGAAUAUUUCAUCUUUCACAUGUCUAUGUUAUUACUACACUUUAUCUCAUGGAGAAUUACUAUUGGUGAAACUAUGAACCUUGGUCUAGUUUUUAUUAUAAGAAAACACCUCUAGCAACUUUCACUUUUAUUUCCGGUUAUUGUUUAUUCCAAAAAUUCAAAUUUACCUGUUAAAUUAUCUUUUAGUAUCUUGUACAAUUGCAAAGCGUGUAAGGUUGACACCCUUGCUAGAGUUGUUGGUGGCACAAGUGAAGUUUUACUAGCUUAUCAUUGGUGAUAUCCUCUAUGAAUUUAUACCUUGGUUCUCAACCGAAGAAACUUGCUACUUGCUACAAACUCCUGCACUUGAGGGCUCAACUACCUUACAUCCUAGUAGACCUAGUGUAAGCUUCAACCUCCAAUGCCACCGGGGAGGAUAGUGAGUGUGCUUGAGAGAGAGAACACGCGAGAGGGUGGAAUUUGGUGAGAAGGUGGCAUCGAGACUGAUAAACGAUCGAUCAUCAAGGCGAGAUAUGAUCUUUGCUUGCAUCCUGAUCUUUCACGCACUCCACUUUUAGCAGUAGUAACCCCUCAUCCAUGGUCACGACGUAUGUGAAGUAGAGGGUUUAAACCUUGCGGUUCAACACGAGAGAACCAACCUAGACGACGACAACUCAAUUAAGCGCAACAUAGGAAUUUUUAGACACCAAUCUUCAGAACUUGAUAUGAGUGUCUACAGUAAGAAACACACUGUGUUCAUUAUAAAUAACAAAACCUACAACUGAUAUACUUGUGGGCCCCAUCCGAUGUCCUUGAUAGCAUGUCACGUAUAUGUACACCUUGCCAUGCACGUUCCUUGCACGGUAGAAUCAGAAAUAGAAAUCCGAUUGUGAUCUCCUGCCUUUUAAUCUGGCGUAUUAUUCUUGUAUCUGUGUAGCAGCCAUGGACGGUUUAUACCCAACAUCUAGCUUUCUUAAUAUUUUCCAAAUGAUAACCAACCUCUGAUUGAGAUGGUUAGGUGGACAGUGGUAUCCCCAACCCACCCCUGGUGCUCGCAUUUAUCCUGGAUUUAUUUCAGGAAUUCCGGCGAUACGCUUUCAGUGGGAGGAGACGUUCCCGUCGACUACGAGGCGCCUACGGUGAAUUCGUAAAAUCUCAAGAUGAUAUGCCAGCUCAGUCUCUCGGAGGUGCUCAUAGGGGUAGGGUGCACGUGUAUAUGAGCGCUUAUAUCUGUACUGAUGCUCAAAAAAAAAAUGAUAAGUGCCAUAUGUGCAACACGAAGCACUCCGGUCCUGACGUUUUUUACAGCUAAAGUUGCCACCCGAAAAGAAAAAACAAACCUAAAAAAUAAAACUGAAACUUGCCAUCCGAAAAGAAGUUGUCAUGCUUGACAACUAAAGCUGCCAUUCUUGCGUCACUAAAGUUGCCAUAAAAACUGUUUGGAGUUUACAUAUAUUCGUGCCACAUGUGUGACAUUUAUUAGGGUCCUAAUAUUUUCUUGUCAAACAGACUGAUAUGGACAUUAUUAGUAUGGUACGUUACAUGCAUCGUCACUAGUAUUUUUUAACCAUGCGUGCAUACGCUCAUAGCCAUUAUUGGCUUCUCUGAAUUAGUUUGCUAUGAAUUUUUCUUUAACCUGAACAGACUUCAUCUCAUGUACUGUAGUUGCAUGGUAGCAACAAAUGCCUCAACGUUUUUAUUAUCAAUUUUUGUCGUGGCCAUAUCAGAGGCUCGCCACAACCAGUGUUGGGGAGAUGCGGGUUGUUGGAGUAAUGGGGGCUACCCCCUAGUGCCAUAUCACUAACUUAGGUCUCUUUUGGUUCAUAGGAUAGGAUUAUCAUAGGAAUAGGAAUCUUGUAGGAAGUGAGAUAAUAUGUAUCUCAAAUCCUAUGAGUAGGAGUAGGAAAUAAGAUGUCAUUUGGUUGAUACCAAAGGAAUUUUUCCAUUGAGUCUAGGCUCUUUUUUAUUUUUCUAUGAAAUGUGGAGGAUAGGAACCAAUCCUAUGUAGGAAUAGGAAUCCAUUCCUAUGAACCAAAGGGCUCUAAAGGAAAAAAUCCUAUAAAAAUCCUAUCCUCUAGAAUUCCUAUGAAAUUCCUCUAAACCAAAGGAGGCCUAAGGUGUUGUUCUACCAUGGGUAAUGUGAUCCACCAUUCUAUCUAUUUUGUUGGUGUUGUGUUAUAAUGUAUUUUUGGUACAAAUAUGCAACUACAUCAAGUUUUAGUUAGUGAAAUUAACCAUAUGUCCGCGUUUCAUGGUUGUGCAUACUUUUCAUAAUGGAUUGUUUUCCUUCUUACUGCAAUUGUACACAACCUUGCUAUAUUUAACCGUCUUACUAUAAUUCGUUCGUGGACAGGGGGGACUAGUCCGUGGAUAUGGAUGCGGGAGGCAGCCAUCCAAUCGUAGCCGCAUACAUCCGGCCAACAAUUCAAACCAACCGGGUGAAAUUCGAUCAAACCGGACGGAUUUCAUUCAAGUUCGGAUAUAAUUUACAUAAAAAGGUUCAUAUUUCGACCGUUUAACUAAAAACAACCUAAGCCCUUUACUGGACGACCACCACAUACGCGUGGCCGCCCUGCCCUGCCGCACCACCGUCUCUGUCAGUGCCAUCGUCCCUCCAGCGGCGGUACGACGCCGGAGGGCCGUGACAACCUUGUCUAGAGGCUGCCUGCCCCUCGCGGAGAAGCCGCUCCACCUCUUGCCACGUCGUGUGGAAUGUCGCCGCGGCCAUUGCCGACGUGGCCUUCUGAGCACUGAUGGUUGCCUUGCCGCGGCCAUUGCCGAUGUGGCCUUCGGAGCCCUGAUGGUUGCCUUGCCGCAGCCGGCUUUGGUGGAGCAGUCGCUAAGCGACCAUUCCUCGUCGUCAAGGCGGCGGCGACGCCUGGCGACCGUCUCUGCGAUGGUCAAGGAGCGGUCGAGUGCCGACACGGCGGCGAGGUCUGGGUCGUUGAGGACCCAGUCAGGCGCCACGUCGCUCUUGGCAAACGCGGAGCGACGACUGGCUUUGCGGAGACGACAACGGCGCGUCGAUGCGGCCGUAGAGGCUGCACCGCGGGAACCCGAGCUUUUCCUUGACGCGACGUUUGAUCUAGAGGACACGGUGGUGCAGGGGCGAGGCCGGCUCCUCCUUGAUGUGGCGUGCGAUCUGGAUGUCGCGGUUGUGCCAGGGCGAGGCCGACUCCUCCUUCACCGGCAGGAGUGUGGAUGCCUGCUCGGUCUUGACGCGGUGGCGGCGGGGAGGCCAGCUCCUCCUUCACGCAUGUGGGCGAUGGCGGCGAUGGCCCCAUGCCACGGAGCGACCGCUCCAUCAUUAACUCGAUCUGACGGACAAAAUCUUCGUCAGUCAGAGCGGUCUCCUUGAGGAGUUGGGGCGGUUGCUGCGGUGGCUCCCGCGGCGGCGGCGUUGGUGCCUGCUCCUUCUCGUCACCGGCCGUCGUGGACGCUGACAGGCCCGGAGAGCGUCUGCUGUGGCGCCAAGAACCGCCGCCGGAGGAGCUUCCGCCUACUCCGCCUGCCAGCGUNNNNNNNNNNNNNNNNNNNNNNNNNNNNNNNNNNNNNNNNNNNNNNNNNNNNNNNNNNNNNNNNNNNNNNNNNNNNNNNNNNNNNNNNNNNNNNNNNNNNNNNNNNNNNNNNNNNNNNNNNNNNNNNNNNNNNNNNNNNNNNNNNNNNNNNNNNNNNNNNNNNNNNNNNNNNNNNNNNNNNNNNNNNNNNNNNNNNNNNNNNNNNNNNNNNNNNNNNNNNNNNNNNNNNNNNNCCAGCGUGGAGCACCACGACUUCAACAUUGUCGCAGCUUGGGUCGAAGAGGGGGGGGGGCUCGGGCAUGAAGACGGGGGAGGGGAGGGGGGCGGUGCUAUGGGAGGGGGUGGUGCAUCUUUGUGCAACUCGACGCAUGGCUGAAAUAGCCGUGGCGAGGAGCAGACAAAGGGCCGGUCAGCAACUUCAAUGCAGGGCAACGGCCGGAGUUGGUUCCUCGGGAAUCUAUGUCCGCAUUGAAUGCGGCGCGGUAAGCGGCGCGUGCAUCGGAAGAAAAGCGCGAGAGGGACGGGUGACGGGUUUUUGGUGGGACAAGGCGGUCAGAAGCGGGCUUGUGAUCGGUCUGGACUCUCCUGUGAAUCUCUCACGUUUAUCUCCGGUUUGCGGGAGAAAUUGAGUCUGAACCGCUCCGCGGAUCGACACAAGUCAGCGUUGAAUGACUUCUACAAUCCGAACAACGCGGUCCGAAUGGUUGCGGGAGGUUUACGGGUCCAUCUUGGAUUCCUCACCGAACCCAACCAACACAAUUGAAAUCGAUCGCUGAUUUGCUGUAGGUGUAGCUCGCCGUGACACGCUUAGACCUUGUUGGGUUAUACUGUACAACUUCUCUUCGACAGGUUGGAAGUAGGGAAAACGUUGGGCGCUCGAUGGCGACGCGUUCAUUUUGGAAUGGCCAGCAUCAGAACCAGCCCUUGUGUACUGGAUUGCUCAUCGUUGGAUGUGACCACACGCAUUGGCACGCAUACUCGUUCUUGCUUCCCAUCGAGGGAGAACUAGGCGUGUUUGGUUUCAGUUUGGAACAGUAGCUGUAUUGCAUACAGACCUUAAUCCAGUCUGACUCUAAAAAAACAAUUUUAUAUGCGACAUCUACGAGUUAUUUGGUUGCCUGCAUAUGGACUUCCUGCAUUAGGAGAUUAAUUUUGGCAUGUUGUUUGGUUGCCUGCAUUUUCUCGGCGCAUGCAACUACACGUUGUUUGGUUGCCCGCAUGGGAUAUGAUUAAGAGUUAGCACUUGCACUUAGCACAUAGGGCUAAGAGCUAGCAGAGGAAGGAGGAGAAGAAAUGCAGUGUGCUCGGACCAUGGCGACUGCGGUGGAUAGUGGCCGUGGCGCCGUGUCCGACAUGACGAGCAUGGAGUCGUGGACGAGCGACCCCGCCGGCGGCACGACGAGCGACACCAUCGGUGAACUAGUUGCGGUGCUCGCGCAAAGACAAUGGACAGAGAAGGAGAAUGCAGUGCUCGUGCCAUGGUAUCUUCAGUGCAGUGGACGAGAGAGGAGACCGAGAUGAUCGACGCCGGAAACGACUCCAGUGUAGUAGGGCGAGAGAGAGGAGGCGAAGAUGAUCGACCCCGUCGGCGGCGCGGCGAACUACAGUGUGCGCGAAGGUAGAGGACACAAGAAAGCAGUGUGUGCGCCAUUGCAGCGUCAGUGCAGUAGGAGGAUGACAGAGAGUAGGCCGAGAUGAGCGACGCCGGAAACGACUCUAGUGUAGUAGCACGCGGGCAAGGAGAUCAAGGGGAAGGGCUUCGAUGUCGAGAGGGAUGAAUAGGAGGGUUCAGAGCAGAGGACAGAGGAGCUCGACAUGGCGGCGUCAGUGCAGUAGACUGCUGUUGAAAGAAAGAUGAAGCUACGAUCGUCGAAACCAAAAACUUACAACACGAAUGUUGUGAGAGACUGCGAGAUUAGGCUAUUGGUCAAAGAAAAUUUGAAAUGAUCGUAGUUUCAAAUCUCGCAGUCCCUCACAGCAUUUUUAGUCUUUGCAGGUUCUGGUUAAGGAUUGCAAUUUUAUCCAUAGACAUGGUGUUGGGUUUCGUAGUAAUUUUAAAAAAUUUCCUAUGCACACGCAAGAUCAUGGUGAUGCAUAGCAACGAGAGGGGGAGAGUGUGAUCUACGUACCCUUGUAGAUCGACAACGGAAGCGUUAACUUGGUUGAUGUAGUCAUACGUCUUCACGGCCCGACCGAUCAAGCACCGAAACUACAACACCUCCGAGUUCUAGCACACGUUCAGCUCGAUGACGAUCCCUGGACUCCGAUCCAGCAAAGUGUCGAGGAAGAGUUCCGUCAGCACGACGGCGUGGUGACAAUCUUGAUGUACUACUGUCGCAGGGCUUCGACUAAGCACCGCUACAAUAUUAUCGAGGACUAUGGUGGAAGGGGGCACCGCACACGGCUAAGAAUAUGAUCACGUGGAUCAACUUGUGUCAUGGGGUGCCCCCUUGCCCCCGUAUAUAAAGGAGCAAGGGGGAGGGGCGGCCGGCCAAGGAGGGGGCGCGCCAAGGGGAGUCCUACUCCCACUGGGAGUAGGACUCCUUCCUUCCUUGUUGGAGUAGGAGAAGGGGAAAGAGGGGGGGAGGAAAAAGGAAAAGGNNNNNNNNNNNNNNNNNNNNNNNNNNNNNNNNNNNNNNNNNNNNNNNNNNNNNNNNNNNNNNNNNNNNNNNNNNNNNNNNNNNNNNNNNNNNNNNNNNNNNNNNNNNNNNNNNNNNNNNNNNNNNNNNNNNNNNNNNNNNNNNNNNNNNNNNNNNNNNNNNNNNNNNNNNNNNNNNNNNNNNNNNNNNNNNNNNNNNNNNNNNNNNNNNNNNNNNNNNNNNNNNNNNNNNNNNUCUCCUUUAUUCCCGUAUGCCCCAAUAAGGCCCAUAUACUGCUCGGCGAAUUCCCGUAACUCUCCGGUACUCCGAAAAAUACCCGAAUCACUCGGAACCUUUCCGAUGUCCGAAUAUAGUCGUCCAAUAUAUCGAUCUUUACAUCUCGACCAUUUCGAGACUCCUCGUCAUGUCCCCGAUCUCAUCCGGGACUCCGAACUCCUUCGGUACAUCAAAACUCAUAAACUCAUAAUAUAACUGUCAUCGAAACCUUAAGCGUGCGGACCCUACGGUUCGAGAACAAUGUAGACAUGACCGAGACAUGUCUCCGGUCAAUAACCAAUAGCGGAACCUGGAUGCUCAUAUUGGCUCCUACAUAUUCUACGAAGAUCUUUAUCGGUCGGACCACAUAACAACAUACGUUGUUCCCUUUGUCAUUGGUAUGUUACUUGCCCGAGAUUCGAUCGUCGGUAUCUCAAUACCUAGUUCGAUCUCAUUACCGGAAAGUCUCUUUACUUGUUCCAUAAUACAUCAUCUCACAACUAACUCAUUAGUUGCAAUGCUUGCAAGGCUUUAUGUGAUGUGCAUUAUCGAGAGGGCCCAGAGAUACCUCUCCGACAAUCGGAGUGACAAAUCCUAAUCUCUAAAUACGCCAACCCAACAUGUACCUUUGGAGACACCUGUAGAGCACCUUUAUAAUCACCCAGUUACGUUGUGACGUUUGGUAGCACAUAAAGUGUUCCUCCGGCAAACGGGAGUUGCAUAAUCUCAUAGUCAUAGGAACAUGUAUAAGUCAUGAAGAAAGCAAUAGCAACAUACUAAACAAUCGGGUGCUAAGCUAAUGGAAUGGGUCAUGUCAAUCAGAUCAUUCAACUAAUGAUGUGAUCCCGUUAAUCAAAUAACAACUCUUUGUCCAUGGUUAGGAAACAUAACCAUCUUUGAUUAACGAGCUAGUCAAGUAGAGGCAUACUAGUGACACUCUGUUUGUCUAUGUAUUCACACAUGUAUUAUAUUUCCGGUUAAUACAAUUCUAGCAUGAAUAAUAAACAUUUAUCAUGAUAUAAGGAAAUAAAUAAUAACUUUAUUAUUGCCUCUAGGGCAUAUUUCCUUCACAUGGAUAUCCAUGGAUAUCCGACCCGAAUGGAUAGGGUUUAGAUAUGCUUUUGUGCCCAUGGGCGGCGCCCAAAUCCGACCCGAUUGCUCGCGGGUAGGGCAUAGAUAUAAUCUUGUAUCCAUGGAUAUAUCUAAACCCGACCCGAUAGUAUGCAUUAAUGGGCAAAAAUCUGCUAUCCCUACCCCAUAGUCACAUCUCCCAUUGCAAUUUUAAACUUUCUUAUAUAAAUCAUGCAAAAUAAAUUGCACAAUCCCCACCGUAACUUUCAUUAGUUGACAUUCAAUCCCCACUAACAUACUCCAGCGCCCCUUUCUUUAUUUUUAUCUCCUCGUUAAAUGACUCAUUAUUUCAUCUUUUAGUAAAAUACUAAAUGAUAUUAGAUUGUUAGUGGACGCUGAUUUACCAUAAGAUGAUGUUUACAAUAACUGAAGUCUAGCUUCCCACGAGGUGAAGAAUGGAAGAUCCUAUGUUAACAUUGUCUUAUGUCAUAUUUGUAUAUAUUGAGAGGACCCAAUGGAUAUCCAGUGGGUAUGGAUAUCCAUCGGGUUUGGAUAUGGACACAAUUUUGAAGGAAAUAUGCCCUAGAGGCAAUAAUAAAGUUAUUAUUUAUUUCCUUAUAUCAUGAUAAAUGUUUAUUAUUCAUGCUAGAAUUGUAUUAACCGGAAACAUAAUACAUGUGUGAAUACAUAGACAAACAGAGUGUCACUAGUAUGCCUCUACUUGACUAGCUCAUUAAUCAAAGAUGGUUAUGUUUCCUAACCAUAGACAAAGUAGUUGUUAUUUGAUUAAUGGGAUCACAUCAUUAGUUGAAUGAUCUGAUUGACAUGACUCAUUCCAUUAGCUUAGCACCCGAUCGUUUAGUAUGUUGCUAUUGCUUUCUUCAUGACUUAUACAUAUUCCUAUGACUAUGAGAUUAUGCAACUCCCGUUUACCGGAGGAACACUUUGGGUGCUACCAAACGUCACAACGUAACUGGAUGAUUAUAAAGGAGUACUACAGGUGUCUCCAAAGGUAGAUGUUGGGUUGGCGUAUUUCGAGAUUAGGAUUUGUCACUCCGAUUGUCGGAGAGGUAUCUCUGGGCCCUCUCGGUAAUGCACAUCACAUAAGCCUUGCAAGCAUUACAACUAAUAUGUUAGUUGUGAGAUGAUGUAUUACGGAACGAGUAAAGAGACUUGCCGGUAACGAGAUUGAACUAGGUAUUUAGAAUACCGAUGAUCGAAUCUCGGGCAAGUAACAUACCGAUGACAAAGGGAACGACGUAUGUUGUUAUGCGGUCUGACCGAUAAAGAUCUUCAUAGAAUAUGUAGGAGCCAAUAUGGGCAUCCAGGUCCCGCUAUUGGUUAUUGACUGGAGACAUGUCUCGGUCAUGUCUACAUUGUUCUCGAACCCGUAGGGUCCGCAAGCUUAAGGUUACGAUGACAGUUAUAUUACGAGUUUAUGCAUAUUGAUGUACCGAAGAUAGUUCGGAGUCCCGGAUGUGAUCACGGACAUGACGAGGAGUCUCGAAAUGGUCGAGACAUAAAGAUUGAUAUAUUGGAAGCCUAUGUUUGGAUAUCGGAAGUGUUCCGGGUGAAAUAGGGAUUUUACCGGAGUACCGGGAGGUUACCGGAACCCCCCCGGGAGCUAUAUGGGCCUUAGUGGGCUUUAGUGGAAAAGAGAAGGGGCAGCCCAAGAUGGGCCGCACGCCUCCCCCCUUCCCUAGUCCUAUUAGGACAAGGAGAGGUGGCCGGUCCCCCUCUCUCUUUUCCCCCUCCGCGAAUCCUAUUCCAACUAGGAUUGGGGGGGGGGAAUCCUACUCCCAGAGGGAGUAGGACUCUCCUGGCGCGCCAUCCUUGGCCGGCCAGCCUCCCCCCUUUAGUCCUUUAUAUACGGAGGCAGGGGCACCCCAGAAACACAUAAGUUGAUCCACAUGAUAUAUUCCUUAGCCGUGUGCGGUGCCCCCUUCCACCAUAGUCCUCGAUAAUAUUGUAGCGGAGUUUAGGCGAAGCCCUGCUGCAGUAGUACAUCAAGAUCGUCACCACGCCGUCAUGCUGACGGAACUCUUCCCCGACACUUUGCUAGAUCAGAGUCCGGGGAUCGUCAUCGAGCUAAACGUGUGCUAGAACUCGUAGGUGCCGUAGUUUCGGUGCUUGAUCAGUCGGAUCGUGAAGACGUACGACUACAUCAACCAAACACUUCCGUUGUCGAUCUACUAGGUAUGUAGAUCACACUCCCCCCCUCGUUGCUAUGCAUCACCAUGAUCUUGCGUGUGCGUAGGAAUUUUUUUGAAAUUACUACGAAACCCUACAGUGGCAUCCGAGCCUAGGUUUUAUAUGUUGAUGUUAUAUGCACGAGUAGAACACAAGUAAGUUGUGGGCGAUAUAAGUCAUACUGCCUACCAGCAUGUCAUACUUUGGUUCGGCGGUAUUGUUGGAUGAGACGACCCGGACCGACAUUACGGGUACGCUUACGCGAGACCGGUUCUCCCGACGUGCUUUGCACAUAGGUGGCUUGCGGGCGACAGUCUCUCCAACUUUAGUUGAACCGAGUGUGGCUACGCCCGGUCCUUGCGAAGGUUAAAACGGAGUCAAAUUGACAAACUAUCGUUGUGGUUUUGAUGCGUAGGUGAGAUUGGUUCUUACUUAAGCCCGUAGCAGCCACGUAAAACUUGCAACAACAAAGUAGAGGACGUCUAACUUGUUUUUGCAGGGCAUGUUGUGAUGUGAUAUGGUCAAGACAUGAUGCUGAAUUUUAUUGUAUGAGAUGAUCAUGUUUUGUAACCGAGUUAUCGGCAACCGGCAGGAGCCAUAUGGUUGUCGCUUUAUUGUAUGCAAUGAAAUCGUGAUGUAAUGCUUUACUUUAUCACUAAACGGUAGCGAUAGUCGUGGAAGCACAAGCUUGGCGAGGCGACAACGAUGCUACGAUGGAGAUCAAGGUGUCACGCCGGUGACGAUGGUGAUCACGAUGGUGCUUCGGAGAUGGAGAUCACAAGCACAAGAUGAUGAUGGCCAUAUCAUAUCACUUAUAUUGAUUGCAUGUGAUGUUUAUCCUUUAUGCAUCUUAUCUUGCUUUGAUUGACGGUAGCAUUAUAAGAUGAUCUCUCACUAAAUUAUCAAGUAGUGUUCUCCCUGAGUAUGCACCAUUGCGAAAGUUCUUCGUGCUGAGACACCACGUGAUGAUGGGUGUGAUAGGUUCUACGUUCAAAUACAACGGGUGCAAACAGUUGCACACGCGGAAUACUCAGGUUAUACUUGACGAGCCAAGCAUAUACAGAUAUGGCCUCGGAACACGGAGACCGAAAGGUCGAGCGUGAAUCAUAUAGUAGAUAUGAUCAACAUAAUGAUGUUCACCAAUGAAACUACUCCAUCUCACGUGAUGAUCGGACAUGGUUUAGAUGAUUUGGAUCACGUAAUCACUUAGAGGAUUAGAGGGAUGUCUAUCUAAGUGGGAGUUCUUUAAGUAAAUUAACUAAACUUAAAUUUAUCAUGAAACUUAGUACCUGAUAGUAUCUUGCUUGUGUAUGUUUGAUUGUAGAUAGAUGGCUCGUGCUGUUGUUCCGUUGAAUUUUAAUGCGUUCCUUGAGAAAGCAAAGUUGAAAGAUGAUGGUAGCAAUUACACGGACUGGGUCCGUAACUUGAGGAUUAUCCUCAUUGCUGCACAGAAGAAUUACGUCCUGGAAGCACCGCUGGGUGCCAGGCCUGCUGCUGGAGCAAUGCCGGAUGUUAUGAACGUCUGGCAGAGCAAAGCUGAUGACUACUCGAUAGUCUAGUGUGCCAUGAUUUACGUCUUAGAAUCGGGACUUCAACGAUGUUUUGAACGUCAUCGAGCAUAUGAGAUGUUCCAGGAGUUGAAGUUAAUAUUUCAAGCAAAUGCCCGGAUUGAGAGAUAUGAAGUCUCCAAUAAGUUCUAUAGCUGCAAGAUGGAGGAGAACAGUUCUGUUAGUGAGCAUAUACUCAAAAUGUCUGGGUAUAAUAAUCACUUGAUUCAAUUGGGAGUUAAUCUUCUAGAUGAUUGCGUCAUUGACAGAAUUCUCCAAUCACUGCCACCAAGCUACAAGAGCUUCGUGAUGAACUAUAAUAUGCAAGGGAUGAAUAAGACUAUUCUCGAGCUCUUCGCGAUGCUGAAAGCUGCGGAGGUAGAAAUCAAGAAGGAGCAUCAAGUGUUGAUGGUCAACAAGACCACUAGUUUCAAGAAAAAGGGCAAAGGAAAGAAGAAGGGGAACUUCAAAAAGAACGGCAAGCAAGUUGCUACUCAAGAGAAGAAACCAAAACCUGGACCUAAGCCUGAAACUGAGUGCUUCUAUUGCAAGCAGACUGGUCACUGGAAGCGGAGCUGCCCCAAGUAUUUGGCGGAUAAGAAGGAUGGCAAGGUGAACAAAGGUAUAUGUGAUAUACAUGUUAUUGAUGUGUACCUUACUAAUGCUCGCAGUAGCAUCUGGGUAUUUGAUACUGGUUCUGUUGCUAAUAUUUGCAACUCGAAACAGGGACUACGGAUUAAGCAAAGAUUAGCUAAGGACGAGGUGACGAUGCGCGUGGGAAACGGUUCGAAAGUCGAUGUGAUCGCAGUCGGCACGCUACCUCUACAUCUACCUUCGGGAUUAAUAUUAGACCUAAAUAAUUGUUAUUUGGUGCCAGCGUUAAGCAUGAACAUUAUAUCUGGAUCUUGUUUGAUGCGAGACGGUUAUUCAUUUAAAUCAGAGAAUAAUGGUUGUUCUAUUUAUAUGAGUAAUAUCUUUUAUGGUCAUGCACCCUUGAAGAGUGGUCUAUUCUUGUUGAAUCUCGAUAGUAGUAACACACAUAUUCAUAAUGUUGAAGCCAAAAGAUGCAGAGUUGAUAAUGAUGGUGCAACUUAUUUGUGGCACUGCCGUUUAGGUCAUAUCGGUGUAAAGCGCAUGAAGAAACUCCAUACUGAUGGACUUUUGGAACCACUUGAUUAUGAAUCACUUGGUACUUGCGAACCGUGCCUCAUGGGCAAGAUGACUAAAACACCGUUCUCCGGUUCUAUGGAGAGAGCAACAGAUUUGUUGGAAAUCAUACAUACAGAUGUAUGUGGUCCAAUGAAUAUUGAGGCUCGUGGCGGAUAUCGUUAUUUUCUCACCUUCACAGAUGAUUUGAGCAGAUAUGGGUAUAUCUACUUAAUGAAACAUAAGUCUGAAACAUUUGAAAAGUUCAAAGAAUUUCAGAGUGAAGUUGAAAAUCAUCGUAACAAGAAAAUAAAGUUUCUACGAUCUGAUCGUGGAGGAGAAUAUUUGAGUUACGAGUUUGGUGUACAUUUGAAAAAUUGUGGAAUAGUUUCACAACUCACGCCACCCGGAACACCAUAGCGUAAUGGUGUGUCCGAACGUCGUAAUCGUACUUUACUAGAUAUGGUGCGAUCUAUGAUGUCUCUUACUGAUUUACCGCUAUCGUUUUGGGGAUACGCUCUAGAGACGGCCGCAUUCACGUUAAAUAGGGCACCAUCAAAAUCCUUUGAGACGACGCCUUAUGAACUAUGGUUGGCAAGAAACCAAAGUUGUCGUUUCUAAAAGUUUGGGGCUGCGAUGCUUAUGUGAAAAAACUUCAACCUGAUAAGCUCGAACCCAAAUCGGAUAAAUGUGUCUUCAUAGGAUAUCCAAAGGAGACUAUUGGAUACACCUUCUAUCACAGAUCCGAAGGCAAGACUUUUGUUGCUAAGUGCGGAAAUUUUCUAGAGAAGGAGUUUCUCUCGAAAGAAGUGAGUGGGAGGAAAGUAGAACUUGACGAGGUAACUGUACCUGCUCCCUUAUUGGAAAGUAGUACAUCACAGAAAACUGUUUCUGUGACACCUACACCAGUUAGUGAGGAAGCUAAUGAUAAUGAUCAUGAAACUUCAGAACAAGAUACUACUGAACCUCGUAGAUGAACCAGAGUAAGAUCCGCACCAGAGUGGUAUGGUAAUCCCGUUCUGGAAGUCACGCUACUAGAUCAUGAUGAACCUACGAACUAUGAAGAAGCGAUGGUGAGCCCAGAUUCCGCAAAAUGGCUUGAAGCCAUGAAAUCUGAGAUGGGAUCCAUGUAUGAGAACAAAGUGUGGACUUUGGUUGACUUGCCCGAUGAUCGGCAAGCAAUUGAGAAUAAAUGGAUCUUCAAGAAGAAGACUGACGCUGACGGUAAUAUUACUGUCUACAAAGCUCGACUUGUCGCAAAAGGUUUUCGGCAAGUUCAAGGGAUUGACUACGAUGAGACCUUCUCACCCGUAGCGAUGCUUAAGUCUGUCCGAAUCAUGUUAGCAAUUGCCGCAUUUUAUGAUUAUGAAAUUUGGCAGAUGGAUGUCAAAACUGCAUUCCUGAAUGGAUUUCUGGAAGAAGAGUUGUAUAUGAUGCAACCAGAAGGUUUUGUCGAUCCAAAGGGAGCUAACAAAGUGUGCAAGCUCCAGCGAUCCAUUUAUGGACUGGUGCAAGCCUCUCGGAGUUGGAAUAAACGUUUUGAUAGUGUGAUCAAAGCAUUUGGUUUUAUACAGACUUUUGGAGAAGCCUGUAUUUACAAGAAAGUGAGUGGGAGCUCUGUAGCAUUUCUGAUAUUAUAUGUAGAUGACAUAUUACUGAUUGGAAAUGAUAUAGAAUUUCUGGAUAGCAUAAAGGGAUACUUGAAUAAGAGUUUUUCAAUGAAAGACCUCGGUGAAGCUGCUUAUAUAUUAGGCAUUAAGAUCUAUAGAGAUAGAUCAAGACGCCUAAUUGGACUUUCACAAAGCACAUACCUUGACAAAGUUUUGAAAAAGUUCAAAAUGGAUCAAGCAAAGAAAGGGUUCUUGCCUGUGUUACAAGGUGUGAAGUUGAGUAAGACUCAAUGCCCGACCACUGCAGAAGAUAGAGAGAAUAUGAAAGAUGUUCCCUAUGCAUCAGCCAUAGGAUCUAUCAUGUAUGCAAUGCUGUGUACCAGACCUGAUGUGUGCCUUGCUAUAAGUCUAGCAGGGAGGUACCAAAGUAAUCCAGGAGUGGAUCACUGGACAGCGGUCAAGAACAUCCUGAAAUACCUGAAAAGGACUAAGGAUAUGUUUCUCAUAUAUGGAGGUGACAAAGAACUCAUCGUAAAAGGUUACGUUGAUGCAAGCUUUGACACUGAUCCGGACGAUUCUAAAUCUCAAACCGGAUACGUGUUUACACUAAACGGUGGGGCUGUAAGUUGGUGCAGUUCUAAACAAAGCGUCGUAGCGGGAUUUACAUGUGAAGCGGAAUACAUAGCUGCUUCGGAAGCAGCAAAUGAAGGAGUCUGGAUGAAGGAGUUCAUAUCCGAUCUAGGUGUCAUACCUAGUGCAUCGGGUCCAAUGAAAAUCUUUUGUGACAAUACUGGUGCAAUUGCCUUGGCAAAGGAAUCCAGGUUUCACAAGAGAACCAAGCACAUCAAGAGACGCUUCAAUUCCAUCCGGGAUCUAGUCCAGGUAGGAGACAUAGAGAUUUGCAAGAUACAUACGGAUCUGAAUGUUGCAGACCCGUUGACUAAGCCUCUUCCACAAGCAAAACAUGAUCAGCACCAAGGCUCCAUGGGUGUUAGAAUCAUUACUGUGUAAUCUAGAUUAUUGACUCUAGUGCAAGUGGGAGACUGAAGGAAAUAUGCCCUAGAGGCAAUAAUAAAGUUAUUAUUUAUUUCCUUAUAUCAUGAUAAAUGUUUAUUAUUCAUGCUAGAAUUGUAUUAACCGGAAACAUAAUACAUGUGUGAAUACAUAGACAAACAGAGUGUCACUAGUAUGCCUCUACUUGACUAGCUCAUUAAUCAAAGAUGGUUAUGUUUCCUAACCAUAGACAAAGUAGUUGUUAUUUGAUUAAUGGGAUCACAUCAUUAGUUGAAUGAUCUGAUUGACAUGACCCAUUCCAUUAGCUUAGCACCCGAUCGUUUAGUAUGUUGCUAUUGCUUUCUUCAUGACUUAUACAUGUUCCUAUGACUAUGAGAUUAUGCAACUCCCGUUUACCGGAGGAACAAUUUGGGUGCUACCAAACGUCACAAUGUAACUGGGUGAUUAUAAAGGAGUACUGCAGGUGUCUCCAAAGGUAGAUGUUGGGUUGGCGUAUUUCGAGAUUAGGAUUUGUCACUCCGAUUGUCGGAGAGGUAUCUCUGGGCCCUCUCGGUAAUGCACAUCACAUAAGCCUUGCAAGCAUUACAACUAAUAUGUUAGUUGUGAGAUGAUGUAUUACGGAACGAGUAAAGAGACUUGCCGGUAACGAGAUUGAACUAGGUAUUUAGAAUACCGACGAUCGAACCUCGGGCAAGUAACAUACCGAUGACAAAGGGAACGACAUAUGUUGUUAUGCGGUCUGACCGAUAAAGAUCUUCGUAGAAUAUGUAGGAGCCAAUAUGGGCAUCCAGGUCCCGCUAUUGGUUAUUGACUGGAGACAUGUCUCGGUCAUGUCUACAUUGUUCUCGAACCCGUAGGGUCCGCACGCUUAAGGUUACGAUGACAGUUAUAUUAUGAGUUUAUGCAUAUUGAUGUACCGAAGAUAGUUCGGAGUCCCGGAUGUGAUCACCGACAUGACGAGGAGUCUCGAAAUGGUCGAGACAUAAAUAUUGAUAUAUUGGAAGCCUAUGUUUGGAUAUCAGAAGUGUUCCGGGUGAAAUCGGGAUUUUACCGGAGUACCGGGAGGUUGCCGGAACCCCCCCCGGGAGCUAUAUGGGCCUUAGUGGGCUUUAGUGGAAAAGAGAAGGGGCAGCCCAAGAUGGGCCGCGCGUCUCCCCCCUCCCCUAGUCCUAUUAGGACAAGGAGAGCUGGCCGGCCCCCCUCUCUCUUUUCCCCCUCCGUGAAUCCUAUUCCAACUAGGAUGGGGGGGGGGAAUCCUACUCCCAGAGGGAGUAGGACUCUCCUGGCGCGCCAUCCUUGGCCGGCCAGCCUCCCCCCUUUAGUCAUUUAUAUAUGGAGGCAGGGGCACCCCAGAAACACACAAGUUGAUCCACGUGAUCUAUUCCUUAGCCGUGUGCGGUGCCCCCUUCCACCAUAGUCCUCGAUAAUAUUGUAGCGGAGUUUAGGCGAAGCCCUGCUGCAGUAGUACAUCAAGAUCGUCACCACGCCGUCGUGCUGACGGAACUCUUCCCCGACACUUUGCUGGAUCAGAGUCCGGGGAUCGUCAUCGAGCUGAACGUGUGCUAGAACUCGGAGGUGCCGUAGUUUCGGUGCUUGAUCGGUCGGAUCAUGAAGACGUACGACUACAUCAACCAAACGCUUCCGUUGUCGAUCUACUAGGUAUGUAGAUCACACUCCCCCCUCGUUGCUAUGCAUCACCAUGAUCUUGCGUGUGCGUAGGAAUUUUUUUGAAAUUACUACAAAACCCUACAAAUUUUUCACCCGUGGACUUUUUCAUGGACGGGUAAAGACUGUCUUCAUGGAUAUGGAUAUGGAUUUGAUAUUGUUCAACCCAAUCCAAACCUGACCCAUUGCCAUCCUUAGUUCUGGUUGCACAAGGUUGGUCCACACCCGGUUGGUCCUGUUGCCAGACCUGGACGCUCGCUCAGCAUGCACAUGUGAAUGAUAAAUGCGCAGUGCUUCGAGGAAGUUCCAAACCAGAUGUUUCGAAUUAGUUAAAUUUAAACUAGUCUGAAAUAUAUCCAUGAUUGGUCUCGUUCUAAAGAUCUUAUCUCUAGAAUUCAAAUAUAUAAAAAAAUCAUAAGAGAAAAUUUGGUUUUGAAGAUAUGAACCAUCCACAUUAUUUUUUUUGAAAAACUUUAAUUUAUUCAACUUCAAUCAUGGCAUUACAACGAACCAGAAAUAAAUAUAGACCAUCUAGCAACGACUACAAACACUGAAGCGAGCUGAAGGCGCGCCGCCAUCAUCGCCCAUUCAUCGCCGGACUCGGGCACAACUUGUUGUACUAGACAGUUGGGAAGUCAUCGUGCUAAGGCCCCAUAGGACCAGCACCCCAGAACAACAACCACCGCCGAUGAAGAAUAACGUAGGUCGGAAGGAUCCAAACCGACGAACACGAACGUAGACGAACAACGACAAGAUCCAAGCAAAUCCAUCAAAGAUAGAUCUGCCGGAGACACACCUUCACACGCUCACCAACGAUACUAGACGCACCGUUGGAAUGAGGGUUAGGCAAGGAGACCUUUAUUCCAUAUUUAGGAAGACGCCGCCUUCUCGCCUUCUUGAACAGGACACAAAACCUAACAAGAUUAAAAAAAGAGACUAAAAACGAAGCCCUUCCGUCGGCCUUUACCAGGAUCCACCGCGCCUCCAUGGCUCUAGGGCCACCAGAGACGAGGCAGACCCGCGCCGACGUUGGCGAGAGGAACAAACCCUAACUUUUUUUCUUGGAGGAGAACGAGGCGGCUGCUGGUGAAGCAUCCAAAUUAUAACUGUGUAUACGGGUGAGUGGCCAGAGAUGCAUUUUUUUAGCUAACUAGUUUUUGUACCCCAUCAAUGGUGUAACACCAAAUCUGGUGAACUGUGUGAGUGAGCAGGCUCACUACUUUUCGCAAUCGCUUUUACCCCAUCAAUGGUCCAUUACUUCGGGUGCAUGGGCCCUCUUAGUACCAAGUAAUAUAGCAACCAUAGGAGAACUUAGGGCAUCUCCAGCCGCGCCCCCAACAGGCCCUCCCCAGGUGAUUUUGCCGCGCCGGCGCCAAAAAAACGGCCCAAUCGCGCCCCCAGAAGCCCGUUUUUCGCCGGCUCAGGCCAAAACUGGUGCCGGCGGACCCAGGCCGAACCCGGCGCCCUGGGGGCGCUUAGGGAGCCGGCACAAGCAAAAAAGGCGUGUGGGCCCGCCUUGGCGGCGACCCGAGGGCCUUUUCCCGCCGCUUCUUAACGCUUUUCCCUCGCAUCUCUUCUGCUCGCUCGCCUUCCUCCCGCCAUUCCCACCCUUUCUCCCGCCAAACCCCCUCCAGCUCGCCUUCCAGUCGCCGCCAUGCCGCGCGCGGCGGCAACCACGACUGGCACCAUGGCCCAGCCGAAGCAGAGGAAGCCGAGGGCGCCGCCAUCGAAGCCACCGGGCAUGUCGAACGUCGAGUGGAGGGUGGAAGUUCAGCGAUGCGACGCAGUCACCACCGAUCGGCGGAACAGGGCCAUUGCCAAGAAGGCCUGCGACAACGCGGCACGUGCGGCGGUGUCUUCCUCAUCGGUCGACCACGCGGGGAUGAUGAAUCCACCCAUCGUCAGCCACGCCCAGUACGCGCCCUGGGGACAGCAGGGCGUCGGAUCUUCAUGGGGAUCGUCAUCGCCCGGCUACGCCGACGGCGACGCGCACGGGGGGUUCAACCCAAACGUGACCUUCCCCCAUGGCCACCCCGCGACGCGCACACCCUCGCCCGCCUUCGUCGGCGUGUAGUACCCUCCAUACAACUACUCGCCGCCCACCGCCUACGCGUCCACACCGAUGCCCCAUCUCCACCGUGGACCGCUGCCCUUCUCGCACCUCGGCGACACGGACGACACAGGAGCCGACAUGGACGACAUCAUCGCGACAGGAUCGACCGCGCCUGUUGCGUCUCCCGGGUUCCCCACCCAGGACGAGGUAGUGGAUCUCAGCGGCGACAUGGAGGCCGAGCUCGGCUACAUCUACGGCGAGGACGCGCACGAAGCGCAGGAACCCGAGGAGGAGGAGGAGGACGAGGAGGAGGAGGAGCCGGCUCCUGUUCCGACGAAGGGGCGCCAGAAAAAGAAGAAGCGGGCUGCUAGGUCAGGCGAACCGCGCAUCAAGUGGACGUCCAAGGAGGAGGAAUGCCUCGCCGAAGCAUGGAAAGUCGUCGGCCUCGACCCGACCACCGGCGCGAACCAGAGCUUGGAGACGUACUGGGACCACAUCAAGGCCGAGUUCGACGAGCGAAAGCUCGUCGACCCGUACUUCAAAGGCGUCUACAUGCAGCGCGGAUCCAAGGCGAUGGCGAACCAUUGGGGGCGUAUCCAGUUGGUGUGCAACAAAUGGCAUGGAAUCGUCAAGGAGGUCGCGGCUCGCCCAGAGAGCGGCGCCAGCGUUGAGGAUCAGGUACGCACGCCGUUCGCCCGCAUCUCUUUGUCGUCAACGCCUGCCGCCCGCCAACUGUUUGUUCCUUCGCGCAGCUGCUGCGUAUGUUCACCAUGUAUCGGCGCGACAACCAAGACGCCGACUUCAAGAACCUCCACAUCUACAAGCGCAUUGACAAGUGCGAGAAGUGGGCGGAAGUCUGAUGUACCCUCGACAAGGCCAAGGAGACAUACAAGCUGGACGCGAUGACUCCGGGCACGUCACAGGGGCGGCCGGACGGCCACAAAUUGGCAAAGAAGGGGAAAAACGCCGACGCGGCAACCGCGCGAGUGCAGGAGUCCAUCGAGCAUUGCCUCGCCGACGCCCAGGCCCGGGCCGUCCUACGUGAAGAGAAGACCGAGGCGCGGUGGUCGUCGCUGAUGAAGAACAGCGCCAUCAAGCUCGACCUGCUCCGAAUGAACGUCGCCGCGAAGAAGAGGAACACCGACAUGGCUUUUCUGAUGGGUGGGGCGGACAUGCUCCAGAGCAACAACGAGCAGCUCAGGGCGUGGUACAUGGCGGAGCGCGGCCUCAUCCUGAACCAGAUGCAGACGACAACGCCGACGACGCAAGCUCCCGCGCCCGCGACCACACGGACGCCAAGCCCAAAGGACGCCUCUACAUCACCGCCCAGCAGUGCCGAAGCCGCGCCGACACAGCCCAGCACCGAAGUAGCUCCGACACCGCCGAGCCCGCGCACGCCGACUCCGCCAACGCCGACUCCGCCAACGCCUGGAGCUGACCCCGCCGAGUGAAUCAUUGCGCACGCAAACUUGCGGUGUGCGGCGCUCUGUUUUUUGUAACGCCAGACUACGUCCGAUCGCCGGAUUUGUGGCGUCUUUUGGGAGCGGGAACGACCAAGUUUAAAUUUCCCGCAUCCUGGGGCCGGCGCUUGGGGGCGUGACUGGGAGCUAGGUCGCCCCCAUGGGCCGAACUAGCGCCGGCACGCUCCCAGGCCGCUCUAUUUAGGCGCCCUGGGGGGCCGAACGGCUGGAGAUGCCCUUACUGCAUUGGGUUUGGGUGGCGGUGGAAGUCACCUUCAGCGGCCCGACACUAGGCUUUCCCUGAUGAUUUUUAAUCUUCAUUUUUAGAAUGGUGGUUUAUGGGUUUUCUUUGGGCAAAAAAAGGGUUAAACCAUGAGUUAAUUAUCUCCUUGGAUUCUUUUGUACUGAAUCCUUUGAUAGUUUGCUUACUAUUGUAUUAAUGCCUACCACAAGCAUGGGCGAACCCACCAUAAUACAUUGAUAUUUACAUGAAUACCCUUUUUUGGUGAAAAAUAAAUGUGCGUACAUCGGUUUAACAUUAAAUAAUAAAUGAAUUACUAAGUCUUGUAAAGGAAAGACAUAGUAUAUUCGGUAGGAGCAUAAGGGGGGAUGUAUUAGAUUCAAUUUGUUUUUACAUUUCUUUCUUUUAUUUAGUUUGUGAGUCUCUUUUGUAUACAUGCUAAAAACCACGUCUCCGUGCGAAAGGUGUUUCUCAAUAAGGCAAAAUAGACAUUUUCGUUGCAAAAACAUUUAUAUGUACUGUUUUUUAAUGGAGUCUAAAUUAUGAACUUGCAUUUGUGUGAACCUAUAAAUAUGGUAUACAUAGAUCUUGAUAAAUAAAAGCUUCUUUUGUUGUGAGUUACGGUGAACAUGAGGGAUUUUUUUCUCAACCAACCAUGCAUCAUAUGCAAACUUAAAGCCAAAGGUUUUGUUUGCUGGAUGAGAGGUGUUGGAUUCCUCGAGGUUGUGAAGGCUCCAUCUAGUAAUCUUUAAUAUGCAUUGGAAUUGGUUUAUGCCUAGACCAUAAAGUUAGAAUGCAAGUAUGAUCUAAAACCAAUUAAAUGAAAGCUAAUUUACAUAAAAUAUUUAGAAGAUAAUGCAUCAAGUUAGUUGUCUCUAAAGAUAUCCCAUUUCUUAGGAGAGCAUCCUAAGUGACAGUGCAUCAAGAGUUACCUAACAUGCAACAUAUGUGUUGUCAAUGUGUCCUUAUUGAUUUUUUGUAACUAUCCCUAUUGAAUAUUGGUAACAAGUUUAUAGUAAAGUCGGCUUAUAACUUGGCGUUUGAGGAAGUACAUCGUGCUGCUGAAACUUCUUCCAGCUCGGUGCCGUCAGGUCAAAGGAAAUGUUGGAGCUUCAUUUGGAAGAGCCGGUGAAAGCGCGUUAUAUCGACCAGAGGAGGAGUGAAUAGGCGAUUUUUAUGAAAGUCUUCAAAACGUGGAAGUUAUGAAGACAAACGAUAGAAAUAAACCUAUUACCAUGCAGCGGAAGGUAGACUACACUAGGCAAACCAUAGUCAAGUAUUCAAUAGAGUGAAAGCACAAUGACUAAUAGCAGCAAUGUAGUAAGGAUCAGGUAGGAGGAUAUUAUGAAGCCAAACAGAACACGCAGUCACUUAGUGAAGACAAAAGAUAGUGCAAUCAUACAAUGACUUCACAAGGACCAACAGUAAGUAAAGGGAAGGGAAGGAUGAAACCAGUGACUCAUUGAAGACAAUGAUUUGUUGGACCAGUUCCAAUUGCUGUGACAACUGUACGUCUGGUUAGGGCGGCUAGGUAUUUAAACCCGAGGAUACACAGUCCCGGACACCCAGUCCUCACCGUAUUCCCCUUGAGCUAAGGUCACACAGACCUUGCCUAAUCACUCUGGUAAGUCUUCAAGGUAGACUCCCAAACCUUCACAGACUUCGUUCACCGGCAAUCCACAAUGUCUCUUGGAUGCUCAGAACGCGGCGCCUAACCGGCUGGAGGAUUCACAGUCCUCAAGUGUAAUAAGUCUUCAGAUCACACAGACAAGAAGACUUAAGUGAUGCCUAACACUCUUUGGCUCUGGGUGGUUAGGGCUUUAUCCUCGCAAGGAAUUCUCUCUCAAAGGCUUCAAGUUGGGUUGCUCUCAAAUGACAAAAGCCGUACUCUAACUCUGAGCAGCCAACCGUUUAUGGUUGUAGGGGGUGGGCUAUUUAUAGCCACUAGGCAACCCGACCUGAUUUGUCCGAAAUGACCCUGGGUCACUAAGGAACUGACACGUGUUCCAACGGUCAGAUUUCAAACUCAGACGGCAACUUUACUUGGGCUACAAGCAAAGCUGACUUGUCCGACUCUGGACAAGUUUCGCUCUCAUAGUCUUCACUCGAAGACAUAGGUUUUGGUUAAGCAUCACUUCAGUCAUUCUGACUGGUUCACUUGGACCCCACUUAACAGUACGGUGGUUCCUAUGACUCAACAAAGAAGAAACAGAACUACAAAAGAUCUAAGUCUUCGAGCUCCAUAGGCUUCAUGCGAUGUCUUCUCUUGUCAUAGUCUUCAAUGAGAAUAUCUUCAUAUACUACCUUUGACAUCAAUGUCUUCAUACAUUUUUAGGGGUCAUCUCUGGUAGAAAAACCGAAUCAAUGAGGGACUUCUACCUGUGUUAUCCUGCAAUUCUCACAAACACAUCAGUCCCUCAACUAGGUUUGUCGUCAAUACUCCAAAACCAACUAGGGGUGGCACUAGAUGCACUUACAAUCUCCCCCUUUUUGGUGAUUGAUGACAAACUAGUUAAAGUUUUCAACGGGGAAUAUAAUAUGUGAAAUUGUAAAGAAUAAGGAAUUGUCUUCAUAAGUUGCAAGGGCUCCCCCUGAAGAUGUGCAUAUAAGUAAUUUGCUUUUGGAAUGCAAAUGCACAUGGCAGGUUGUGCUUGUGGAGAUCCUCUUCAACUUAUGAUGACAAUCCACUAUGCAUGUGAAGGUAUGUGAAGAUAAUGACAUGCAUAAUGGAAAAUGGACGUCUGCAAAAUGAUCUAAGUGCGGAAUUUAUCAUCGCACAUGCGGAAUUUAUCAUUGCAUCACAAAGUAGCAAAUAAGUAGCAGACGACCAUCGAGUUUAAGUGUUACAACUCAAAGAACCAAAUGUAUCAAAACGAGAGUUGUAGACACGAAGCAAAAUAUAAAGCACCUGCCCAUAUGGACCUGCUUGAAGACUAUCAAACUCAUAUGCUUCUCCCCCUUUUGUCAGGAAGGACCAAAAAGGUUUGAAGACAUAGAGCAUCUACUCGUUCCCAUGAAGAGUAGGUGAAGCAGCAGGGUCGUCGGUGGUGUUCGGCGGUGCAGAAGAACUUGGAGUAGUUUCAAAGCAUGCUGAAGGAGGUGGCGGUGAAGUGGCAUCGUCUUCAUCCUCGAUCACUCUGGCAUUCACAGUUGCAGCAGAGGAAGAGAACUCAGAGUCUUCGAGAGAUGGAGUUCGUCGCAGCACGGCCCUUCGAGGAGGUGUGGAGUCAAACUUGAAGCGUUCAGAGAAGUCAUCCUCUUGAAGAUCAUCUUCAGAGCACAUCAGCGUCAGCCCUUUCCAUGUGCGUCGAGAGGUUUCAUGGGCAACAAAAGCAUUCUUGGUGGAAAGAUUGCGAAUGCGGUUGACAUCCACCAAGAGGCUUUGCAUUUGGCGCUUCAACCAGUCAUGAUGCCUAUCCUGUUUCUGAUGAAGAGCCACCAGAAGCUCUCGGUCAUUAAGAACACGAGUGCGCUUCUUGGGUCGUUGGGCAGUUGUGCUGUCGGUGGCUUCAGUAAGGGCAGGAUGUGGUGCACGUGUAGUUCCAGCCAAAGGAUAUACACGAGUGACUGCUUCAACUCCUUCAAUGUUCUGAGAGAAACUUUGAUGCUCCGCAUUCUGAAGACUUAGAGGUUCCUUGGCAGGCUCAGGAUAAAUGGCUUCAAUAGACAUAUCCACAUCGGGCAGAAAGAUCCGAUGAUUGCGAGUAGAUGGCUGAUAUAAGAUAGCGGAGUGGAGUUUGAUCAGCCGCAUUAUCCAUGGAGCGUAGAACUUCAAGCCAAAAAGAUCAGAGCCUGAUGCAGCAAGUUGGCAGAUGAAGAAGUCCUGUGCAUUGAAGCAUUUGCCAUGAAGAAUAUAGAAGACCAAGGUCUUCAUUGCACUUUCCAGCUUGGCAUGUGGAGAGUGUCCUUUGAUGGGCCAGAGAGUUCGCCUUAUGAUGUGAUAAAUAGUCCUUGGCAGAUACUCAAGGUCUUCAACAAAGAACUCUUUGGGAUAUGCAGCAUCUUGGGGCAAUGGCUUCAUCAUACUGAGCAUCUGACUCAUGUUGGGUUCAGGCUUCUAAAAGAUGCUUUCCAUAGCUUCACUGUGAAUCUAACAGCCAGUUUCGUAGAGAUCGCCAGGAGUGGGUAGACCAGUGAGCUCAAUGAUGUCAAAGGCUUUGGCUUCGUGAUGAACGUUUCCUGUCAUCCACUCCAGGACCCAAGUCUUCGGAUCUCUGUUGUACCCGCGGAUGUGAAGUGUGGCAUAGAAUUGGAGCAUCGACUCUUCAUUCCAAUGCUCUUGGUCGGUGACGAACGGCAGCAAUCCAACCUCUUUGAAGCAAUCAGAGCUUCUUCCAGGCAGGGCAGACCAACUAUUGCUUCAAUGUCAAGACGCUUGUGUGAGAAGAUGCGACCUUGAUUGUAUAAAAUGCAGGAGUAAUAGCUUCACUAUGGAUAGCUCCAGAACCAAUCAUAUGAUAUUAUUUCCCUUGAGUAGGGGUUCCUGGAGCUAUUGAAGAAAGUUUUGUCUGCUCUGAAGCCAUUGACAUUGAAGGAUCCAGGUGCUGAUGCAGGACCUGGAAACCUGGGCAAUCUUGGGAUUGGCUUCUGUACCUGAGGCCUGUGCUCAACAUGAUAGUCGAACUGAGGGCCAGCAGCAGGCGCAGGAACAGAAGCAGUGGGAUCAGUGGCUUCGCUGACUUCUGGUGCUUGGGUUGGUGAAGGCUCCACAUUAGCUUCAGCCAUGACAGGUCAGUGGCUUCAUUGGUGUUGGUGGUGGCAGCCUCAAGAUUCUCAACCUCCACUUGACGAGCUGGAGGGUCGGUCACAGUCACGUUCUCCUCAAGAACAGCUUCUUGGUGGGAUGGGGGAGUAGCAGCUUUUGGGGUUUCUUCUUCAUCGGCUGAUGCAGCCGGAAUGUCUUCAGCAACUGUAGCUUCAGACUCAGAGACUGGAGACCUUGGUCCUUUGCGAAGCCUGCAUAACGCUGGCGACGCCUGUGGAGUUGGAGUUGGCUGGGCCUCAAAGUCUUCUUCCUCUUGUGCUUGUGGGCGAUCAGCCCAUGAUGCAUCCUAAGCAAUUGGCGUAAGAGGACGACCAAUGCUGACGAGUUCACUGUGCGUUAGCACAGGCGAUGAUACCUAUUGGUGCUCGAGCUGAGGAAGAACUGCAUCAUCUUCAACAUGGUCAUGGUGACCAAUGUCUUCAGCAGCGAUGGGAUUAGCUGCUGGAAAGUCUUCAGCUUCAUGAGCCUCUAUGAAAGCAGGCUCAUGGACAGUCAGUUGACGUUCUUGAGGUUCAGCGUCAGGGCGAACCAUGGAGAUGGGUUCAACAAUCAAGGGCUCUAUGGUAGCAGCCCGUUCCUUCUUGGUCUUCCGCUUCUUCUUGGAGGGGGCAGUAGCAGAGGCUUCGGGAUGUUUCCUCUUCCUUGAUUUAGCCUCAGCAGUCCUCGUCUUCUUCAGCUCUGAAGCGGUUGACCGGCCUUUGGCUUCAAGCCAUUCAUGCUAGUUGGGAAGACAAUGGGAUCUGCUUCCUGCCUUGGUGCGUUGGGUUCGGCCACAGUGGGCUUCUUCUUCUGCUUAGCAGCCAUCCUGGGAUCAAUGCACAGACGCCCAAGGGCCUUGCGCUUCUCAGCCUCGUUGUAGCCUUGUACACACUUGUCAGCCAGGCUCUUCAUGCGCUCCCGAGAACCCUGAGCUUCUGCGCGUUUCUUGAGAAAGGCUUCUUUGAGCUCGUGCAGCAUAAUCUUGAAGUUUUUUACCUCUUAAACGCUGAGCUUGGCCAUAUGCUUCUUGAACUGAGCUUUCUCAAAGUCAAUCUUUUGCUUCAGUUUAACAAUGCGCUAGGCGAUAGCUAAUUCUGAAGCAAUGGCGCCAUGGAAGGUGACACUGAAGCCAAUUGGUAGUUGCAGAUCUUCGAAGCUGAUGUUGGGCGUGUCAAACCACUCAUCAAUGAAGUUGUGGAUGAUUUUCACGUCAAAGAGAGGCAGAUCAUUGAAGAUUUCUGCUUCUUCUUUGCUCUUGAUGAGUUGCUCAAGAGCGUCAUCUGCAAGAUCUUCAUCACUGGACAGAUCAAUGGCAUCGUUUCGCAGAAUGGCAGCAGCUGUCAGUUCUUGGCCGGUGUGUGGCAGAGGCCUCUUUACCUUCUGGGGCUUGGAGAUGCGUGACAAAUCUUCAGACUGCACACUGUCUUCAGGAGGUGCAGUGGCCAGUGGCUUCGCCCGUGAGAUUUUUGGUGCAGAGGUAGGCUUUGAAGCUUUUGGCUGCUUCAGCUUCUUUGGCUUCGGCGCUAUAGGCGCUUCAUCUGAUUCAGCGUCAUCUGCAGGCUCAUUCACGGCAGUCCCUUGAACCACGAUACGGGUGAUGAGACCUUCAAGGUUGUAGAAGGGCCCAAGAAGAUUGGGUUCAGCUUCGCGAGUUCCAUCAGCACGGGGAGCAGAGGGACCGGGGUUGAAGUCUAAUCCCAAAGACUUCUUGUUCUGCUUUGCUGAGUUCUUGGCAAACUAGAAGUUGUGCUUGAACAGAUUGUCGUCACGGCACCAUAGUAGUGACGAUGGGUGUGCAUCUGCAGGCUAUGGCCCACGGACCAUGCAGGGAUAGAAGCCUUGUUCAAUGGCUUCUUCUCUGGACCUGGGUUGAAGAUUCUUAUAUAGGAUGUCUCCCCACAGUCGCUUGAUGGCAUUUUUCUCAGCAUAUUCUUGGGUCACAAACCGGUAUUUGAACCAUUGUUCUGCCCAAUAUCUUCGAAUCCACUGGAUUCGGGUCUUGCACUGAUUAUAAUCCUCUUCAGGAUCUGUCUUGUAGAGUUCUGAGAGGUCAUCAGGCAGAUCUCUUGAUGUUCCGCCACGACACUGUCUGCCUCCCUUCCUUGCAGAUUUCUCUGAAGUCAUGAAUUUUAAACUGAAAGGCUUCAAUACGUUCAAAGGCUUCAAAGGUUUUCGCUUGCUGGACAAACAGGAACUGGCUUCGGGAGAAUUUAUAUGAUGCUGUAAGAAUUCUGCAAAUGAAUGCAGACUAUGAGAACCAAGGGAUUCUCCCACGGACAUGUACCUGUGACAGCAUUAAGGUGCGAGGGAAGGGGAAGAGGUCAUAUGCAUUCUCAGAAGAUUUUGAAGAUAAAUCAGUUUAGAAGACAUUGACCUCAUCAUGCGAAGACAUUCACUCAUAGAUAAGGAGUUGGUUCCAGAUUUGUACGAAUCCAGAGAUCAGUACAAGUGAGGAAUCUAACUACUUUGUGAAGCAUAAGUGAAUAUACUAGGCAUGUUAUGAGAUGCAGUAUGAAAGAGAUCCAACUUGUGUGAAUAGAAACUGCUUGUGGUAGAAAGUGACAAAGCUAUAGGAUCAAAGGGGCCGUAAAAAGGAAGUUUUAUUUACCACACGUAGAACUGCUAGACGGAGUGGAAGAGGAGGUCGAGCAGUUCGAUCGUCCGUGCCCUAACUUGGCGACGGAGGACACCUACGGCGACGGCGGAGAGGACGAUGUCCGCGGUUGGCGUGAGGACGGCGUCGGAGAGGUUGUGGCAGCGAAGCGCUUCGUCGAGGGCUAGCGGUGGCGCUAGGGUUCGUGCGAGAGUGGAAGAAGAGAUAAUGACUGCGGUGAGGCGUGUAUUUAUAGGUACAGGGGCGACUCAGUGUUAUUACACAGGUGCCCCUGGUGAUUCACAUCUGAGGAACACGUGGCCAUCAUGCAGCAUGUCAGAGGCUGUUCCACGUCCCACGCACACCUGGAUUGUCGGGUGGUCGUUCCCACUUCUCCGGGUUUCAGGUGAAGGAAUGAGCAUUGAAAACAGACUUAAUGUUUGUCUCUGUAUCUUCUGCUGACAAGGACGCAGAGAAGACAUUCGACAGUUUCAAUAGAAUGCAUAUGACUUGGAGAGAUAGAGUUUGAGAUAGAAAGCAUAGAGAGAUUAGGGUCCGAUCACAUUCACUUAGUUCAAAAGAUUCAACAAGAAGACAUAGCUAUAAGUGAACGCUGUAGAGGACAGAACAUUAGUAUAUAUAUAUAUAUAUAUUCAACAUAGUGAAGAUAAUCAUGAAGACAUGUUGAGAUUGAAGCCAAACCAAAUGUGAAAACAUAGCAAAUGUAACGCCAUGAGUGAAACACUUCAAACAGAACAUUUGGUGGUGGUGUUACCCACCGUAUAGGAAGUAUUAGACCCAGACACGGCGCACAAUUAUCGUGGCACUCCAAAGUCAAAUUCCACAUUAAUGUAUUCACACUUAGAAUGUAUGUCUUCAUUGAUUGAAGAUAUACUUUACUUCGUGUGUUGCACAUCUAAGUCAUCAAUAUGCAUAAGUGUUAGGAUGUGUGCCUGAUCACAGGACAUUUGAGGAUUCCAAGAUAUUUAGCUCACACCGUAACUUGCAAAAUCUCUUCUCAUCCAAGGGCUUGGUGAAGAUAUCUGCCAAUUGUUCUUCAGUGUUGACGUGUAUGAUAUCAAUGUCUUCCUUCACAACAUGAUCUCUGAGAAAGUGAUGACGAAUUUCAAUGUGCUUUGUCUUCGAGUGCUGAACUGGGUUGUUGGCAAUCUUGAUGGCGCUUUCGUUGUCGCAGUAGAGUAGCACUUGCUUCAGAUGAAUGCCAUAGUCCUUGAGUGUUUGCUUCAUCCACAGAAGCUGAGCGCAGCAAGAUCCAGCAGCAAUGUAUUCAGAUUCAGCAGUGGAGAGAGAUACACAGUUCUGCUUCUUUGAAGACCAACAUACAAGUGAUCGUCCUAGAAAAUGACAUGUGUCUGAUGUAGACUUGCGACCCACCUUGUCACCAGCAUAAUCAACACCCGAGAAUCCAACCAGAUCAAACUCUGAGCCCUUUGGAUACCAUAAUCCUAGAGUUGGGGUGUGAGCCAAAUAUCGAAGAAUUCGCUUCACAGCUAAGUGAUGCGACUCCUUUGGUGCCGCUUGGAAUCGAGCACACAUGCAAAUACUAAGCAUAAUAUCUGGCCUAGAUGCACAUAGAUAAAGUAAAGAACCAAUCAUGGAGCGGUAUACCUUUUGAUCGAACUCUUUACCAUUGUCGUCGGGACCCAGAUGAUGUUUGGCUGGCAUUGGCGUUGUGAAGCCUUUGCAGUCUAGCAUAUCGAACUUCUUCAGGCAAUCUUUGAGAUACUUCUCUUGAGAUAUGAAGAUGCCGUUGCGUUGCUGUCGUAUUUGAAGACCGAGGAAGAACUUCAGCUCUCCCAUCAUGGACAUCUAAUAUUGCUCUUGCAUCAUAUAUCCAAACUCUUCACUGUACUUCUGAUUGGUGCAGCCGAAGAUGAUGUCAUCCACAUAUAUUUGGCACACAAACAGUUCACCAUCAUAUGUCUUCGUGAAGAGAGUGGGGUCGAGGGAACUAGGUAUGAAGCCUUUGCUCUUCAGGAAGUAUUUGAGUGUGUCAUACCAAGCCCGAGGGGCUUGUUUGAGGCCAUACAGUGCCUUGUUGAGCUUGUAUACCAUGUCAGGAUGUUUUGGAUCUUCAAAGCCAGGCGGUUGUGCAACAUACACUUCUUCUUCAAUCUUGCCAUUGAGAAAGGCGCUCUUCACAUCCAUUUGAUAUAGAAGUAUGUUAUGAUGAUUUUCAUAGGCCAACAGUAUGCGUAUGGCUUCAAGUCUAGCCACAGGAGCAAAUGUUUCAUCAAAGUCAAUGCCUUCCACUUGAGUAUAUCCUUGAGCAACGAGACGAGCUUUGUUUCUGACAACUUGACCAUGCUCAUCUUGCUUAUUGCGGUAUAUCCAUUUGGUGCCUAUUAUGUUGUGCUUCCGAGGAUCAGGACGCUUAACCAGUUCCCAUACAUUAUUUAGCUCAAACUGUUGAAGCUCUUCUUGCAUAGCUUGAAUCCAUUCAGGCUCCAUGAAGGCUUCUUCAACUUUCUUGGGUUCUGUUAUUGAGACGAAUGCGAAGUGCCCACAGAAAUUUGCUAGAUGAGUUGCCCUUGAACGAGUGAGGGGACCAGGUGCAUUGAUGCUAUCAAUUAUUCUCUCAAUCUACACUUCAUUGGCAACACGAGGAUGUACAGGGCGAAGAUUUUGCUCUUGCUGAUCAUUGUCAUUGUUAGUGGGAUUGUCUUCAGGCUGAGCAUUGUCUUCAGGUUGAUCAGGUGCGGAGAUGAUAAGUUCCUCUUCAGGUUGAGCUUCAGAGGGUAUGAUUUCUCCAGUUCCCAUUAGCUUGAUUGAUUCGCUGGAUGGAACUUCAUCUAGCACAUUUGGCAUGUGCUCUCUUUGUGAACCGUUAGUCUCAUCAAACCGCACAUCCACUAUUUCAACCACUUUAUAAUGAAAGAAUUUGAAGACUCUGUAGGAGUGCGAAUCCUUUCCAUAUCCAAGCAUAAAACCCUCAUGUGCUUUUGGUGCAAAUUUUGAAGUGUGAUGUGGAUCCUUGAUCCAGCACCUGGCCAAAUACUCUGAAGUAACUGACAUUUGGCUUCUUGCCAGUAAGGAGCUCAUAAGAUGUCUUGUUCAGAAGCUUGUGAAGAUAAACAUGAUUGAUUGUAUGGCAUGUAGUAUCAAUGGCUUCAGGCCAGAAUUUUCUUGGAGUCUUGUAUUCAUCUAGCAUCAUUCGGGCCAUCUCAAUGAGUGUUUUGUUCUUGCGUUCGACGACGCCAUUCUGCUGUGGCGUGUACGGAGCUGAGAAUUCAUGUGUGAUGCCCAAAGUAUCAAGAUAUGUAUCAAGGCCAGUGUUCUUGAAUUCAGUGCCAUUGUCACUUCUGAUGUGCUUUAUCUUGGCGCCAUAGUUGUUCAUUGCUCGAUUGGCGAAGCGUCUGAAGACAUCCUGCACUUCAGUCUUGUAGAGGAUUAUGUGCACCCAAGUAUAUCUAGAAUAAUCAUCAACAACGACAAAGCCAUAGAGACAAGCAGUAGUAGUAAGAGUUGAGUAAUGAGUGGGACCGAAAAGAUCCAUGUGGAGCAGUUUGAAGGGUCGAGCGGUUGUCAUGAUUGUCUUCAAGGGAUGUUUGGCCCUCGUCAUCUUUCCUGCUUCACAGGCACCGCAUAAGUGAUCUUUCUUGAACUUGACGCCCUCGAUGCCUAUGACAUGCUUCUUCUUUGCAAGGGUGUGGAGGUUCCUCAUGCCAGCAUGCCCUAGCCUCCGAUGCCAGAGCUAGCAUUCUGAAGCUUUUGCUAGAAGACAUACGGCAAGCUGUGGUCCUGCUGAGAAAUCUACCACGUACAAAUCAUCUUUCUGAUACCCUUCAAACACUAGAGACUUGUCAAAUUCCAUUAGAACAAGGCAGCGAUAUUUUCCAAACAUUACGAUCAUGUUCAAAUCGCAAAAUAUUGAGACAGACAUUAAGUUGAAGCCAAGGGAUUCAACAAGCAUGACUUUAUCCAUGUGUUGAUCCUUUGAGAUUGCAAAUCUACCUAGACCCAAUACCUUACUUUUACCAGUGUCAGCAAAUGUGAUGUGACUCUUGUCGGAUGGACGUAAGGUUGAGUCCAUAAGAAGGCUUCUUUUGCCAGUCAUGUGAUUGCUACAUCCACUAUCAAUAAUCCAUUCGAAGACGCUGGUGUCGUACCCUAAAGUGCAGUUCGGGGGAUAAGCUUCACGAAGAGAAUUGUGAAGCAAAAACAUUUGACGAACCAGUGGGUUAUGAAAGCUUAGAUCCAUAUUAGGACUAAUAGGGAGAGUAGCAAGCGAUUCAGGAACGAAGUACAUAGUAAGACCAUUCGGGCAUUUGAUCUUGCGCCCUACAAGAUGUUUAAGGUCCCCAGCAAUAGCGUCAGACGAUUUUGGUUUUCUGCUGGAGACCUUUUCCUGCAAAAGAGAGUUAAGCUUUCUUAGCCACCCACAUCGUCAAGGGUGGCUUAGAAGCAAUAAGUCUAAGUGCAGCAUCUGAGAACUUUGGCUUUGGAGUCCUAGCAAACAGUCUUGCAGGUGGACAAUAGUACUCAUAAGAAUAAGCAGAAUAGUUCUUGGUCUUAUGAACAUGGCGGUUUGAUGAACCGCGCUCAUAUUCAUAGGCCUGAGUAUGGUUUCCCUGCAAAACAUUUGCAUUAGUGCGACUCGGGUGAGUCCUCUGUCUGUGUGAAGCCUUUGGACCGUAUGAAGCCUGUGGUAUGGGGUUUGUCUUCUUCACCUGUGGUGUCAUGAUAACAUUCACAGGAAGAUUCUCCAGACACUUUUUCGGUACCCAGAUCUUCUUCAUAGGCGGUCCAUUCCUGCAGUUAGUACCAAUGUACCUGGCAAACACUUCACGAUUUUGAUUCUUAAACAGUUUAUAGUUUGCAUCAAAGGAUUCAUCAAUGACAAUAGGGUUAGCACAAGUGAAGCCAGAUAGAGUGGAUGGAUCUGCUGAAGAUUCCUUUGCAACAACCCAUGUGGUUUUGGGGUACUCCUCAGGUUUCCAGUAAGAGCCAUCAGCAUUCAUUUUCUUUACGAACCCAACACCCUCUUUCCUCGGGUUUCGGUUCAGGAUCUGCCUUUUGAGGACAUCACAUAGUGUCUGAUGCCCUUUAAGACUUUUGUACAUCCCUGUUUCAAGCAAUGUCUUCAACCUAGCAUUCUCAUCAGCAAUAGCAGUGGUAUCCUCAGUAGAGGGGUUAGUUCCCACAUCAACAGUUGAAGAUAUUGCAACAGUAGCAGCAGUAGAACAUUCAGCAACAGAAGUAGCAUUAUCACGCUCAAUGCAUUUAAGGCAUGGUGGUUCAAAUCCUUCCUGAGCGGAACUGAUCUGUUCAGCGCGAAGUGACUCGUUUUCCUUUUGAAGAUCUUCAUGAGCCGCUCUCAAUUUCUCAAGAUCUUGCUUCCUUUGAAGAUAAUCAUAGGAAAGCUUUUCAUGAGUUGUUGAGAGCGUUUCAUGACGACUUUCAAGUUCCUCAUACUUAACGUGAAGAUUUUUUAUGUCUUCAAUUAAGGACUCAGAUCGAGUCAUUUCAGCGCCUAACAGAUCAUCGCUUUUGUCUAACAGUUUUUGAAUAUGUUCCAUAGCUUUCUGUUGUUCAGUUGCAAUUUUAGCAAGUGUUUUGUAGCUGGGUCUUGAACCACAAUCAGAGUCAUCUUCACUAGAUGUUUGAUAGUGAGUAGUGCGUGUGUUUACCUUGGCACCGCGUGCCAUGAAGCAGUAGGUAGGAGCGGAGUAGUCCUUGUCAUUUGCAUCGGUGUCGGUGAUGAAGUCAUUGUCUUCAGUGUUGAAGAUGGACUUGGCAACGUAUGCUGUAGCCAGACUUGCAACACCAGAAUCGGACUCCUCCUCAGACUCCACCUCCGCCUCCUCAGAAGCGGACUCCUCUGAAUCCAUUUCCUUGCCAACAAACGCACGUGCCUUGCCAGAUGAGCUCUUCUUGUGUGAUGAAGACUUUGAGGAAGACUUGGAAGAAGACUUUGAGUAUUUCUUCUUCUUCUUGUCGUCAGAGUCAUAUUCCUUGCUCUUCUUCUUCUUCUUUUUGUUCUCAUUGUCCCACUGCGGACACUCAGAGAUGAAGUGGCCAGGUUUCUUGCCUUGUGACAUGUUUUCUUCUUGUAGUCAUGAGCAGAAGCUUCAUCAUUCCUUGAGCUUGAUCGUGAAGACUUUCUGAACACUUUCUUCUUGGUGAAUUUUUAGAACUUCUUCACAAGCAUAGCAAGUUCCCUUCCAAUGUCUUCAUGAUCAUCAGAACUGCUGUCAGAUUCUUCUUCAGAUGAGGAGACAACUUUUGCCUUCAAGGCACGAGUUCGCCCAUAGUUUGGACCGUAGAUAUCUCUUUUCUCAGAAAGCUGAAACUCAUGUGUGUUGAGCCUCUCAAGUAUGUCAGACGGAUCGAGUGUCUUGAAAUCAGGACGUUCUUGAAUCAUCAGGGCUAGGGUGUCAAACGAACUGUCAAGUGAUCUCAAGAGUGUCUUGACGACUUCAUGCUUGGUGAUCUCAGUAGCGCCAAGGGCUUGAAGCUCAUUUGUGAUGUUAGUGAGUCGAUCAAACGUGAGCUGGACAUUCUCAUUGUCAUUUCUCUUGAAGCGGUUGAAGAGGUUGCGAAGGGCACUGAUUCUCUGAUCUCUCUGGGUUGAGACGCCUUCGUUGACCUUGGAGAGCCAGUCCCAGACUAGCUUAGAUGUUUCCAAAGCACUCACGCGGUCAUACUGUCCUUUGGUCAGAUGACCACAGAUGAUAUUCUUGGCAGUAGAGUCCAGUUGAAUGAACUUCUUGACAUCAGUAGCAGUGACACCUUCUCCAGCCUUGGGAACGUCGUUCUUGACGACAUACCAUAGGUCGACGUCAAUGGCUUCAAGAUGCAUGCACAUCUUAUUCUUCCAGUAGGGAUAUUCAGUUCCAUCGAAGACGGGGCACGCAGCGGAGACUUUAAUUAUCCCUACAGUCGACAUAGCUAAAACUCCAGGUGGUUAAACCGAAUCACACAGAACAAGGGAGUACCUUGCUCUGAUACCAAUUGAAAGUGCGUUAUAUCGACUAGAGGGGGGGGGGGUGAAUAGGCGAUUUUUAUGGAAGUCUUCAAAACGUGGAAGUUAUGAAGACAAACGAUAGAAAUAAACCUAUUACCAUGUAGCGGAAGGUAGACUACACUAGGCAAACCAUAGUCAAGUAUUCAAUGGAGUAAAAGAACAAUGACUAAUAGCAGCAAUGUAGUAAGGAUCAGCUAGGAGGAUAUUAUGAAGCCAAACAGAACACGCAGUCACUCAGUGAAGACAAAAGAUAGUGCAAUCAUACAAUGACUUCACAAGGACCAACAGUAAGUAAAGGGAAGGGAAGGAUGAAACCAGUGACUCGUUGAAGACAAUGAUUUGUUGGACCAGUUCCAGUUGCUGUGACAACUGUACGUCUAGUUAGGGCGGCUAGGUAUUUAAACCUGAGGACACACAGUCCCGGACACACAGUCCUAAACACGCAGCUCAGGACACCCAGUCCUCACCGUAUUCCCCUUGAGCUAAGGUCACACAGACCUCGCCCAAUCACUCUGGUAAGUCUUCAAGGUAGACUCCCAAACCUUCACAGACUUCGUUCACCGGCAAUCCACAAUGUCUCUUGGAUGCUCAGAACGCGACGCCUAACCAGCUGGAGGAUUCACAGUCCUCAAGUGUAAUAAGUCUUCAGAUCACACAGACAAGAAGACUUAAAUGAUGCCUAACACUCUUUGGCUCUGGGUGGUUAGGGCUUUAUCCUCGCAAGGAAUUCUCUCUCAAAGGCUUUGAGGUGGGUUGCUCUCAAACGACAAAAGCCGUACUCUAACUCUGAGCAGCCAACCGUUUGUGGUUGUAGGGGGUGGGCUAUUUAUAGCCACUAGGCAACCCGACCUGAUUUGUCCAAAAUGACCCUGGGUCACUAAGGAACUGACACGUGUUCCAACGGUCAGAUUUCAAACUCACGCGGCAGCUUUACUUGGGCUACAAGCAAAGCUGACUUGUCCGACUCUAGACAAGUUUCGCUCUCAUAGUCUUCACUCGAAGACAUAGGUUUUGGUUAAGCAUCACUUUAGUCAUUCUGACUGGUUCACUUGGACCCCACUUAACAGUACGGUGGUUCCUAUGACUCAACAAAGAAGAAACAUAACUACAAAAGAUCUAAGUCUUCGAGCUCCAUAGGUUUCAUGCGAUGUCUUCUCUUGUCAUAGUCUUCAAUGAGAAUAUCUUCAUAUACCACCUUUGACAUCAAUGUCUUCAUACAUUUUUAGGGGUCAUCUCUGGUAGGAAAACCGAAUGAAUGAGGGACUUCUACCUGUGUUAUCCUGCAAUUCUCACAAACACAUCAGUCCCUCAACUAGAUUUGUCGUCAAUACUCCAAAACCAACUAGGGGUGGCACUAGAUGCACUUAUAGCUGGGCUCCGCCCUCUGUGCGUAACUUUGCAUGGCGCCUCUCCACCAAUGCUCUCCCGACAUGGCAGAGGAAACAUAGAAUUGGACUUGAAACUGUGAGCCAGUGCCUGGUUUGUGUUGUGGAGGAAGAAGAUAAUUUUCACCCUUUUGUGCGCUGUCAGCUUGGACGCGACCUUUAUCUUGCCAUGACCAAAGUGUGGGCGAUACCGAAGCUAGAAGAAUUAGUGAAUAAUGGCAAGGAAUGGCUUCUCCAUGUUUUGGCGCCUUUGAACGAAGUGGGGAGAAUGAUGUUGAUGAUGGUUUUUUGGAGAUCCUGGUUCAUCAGGAACGAAAUUGUGCACUCUAAACCUGCACCUCCUUUGGAGGCCUCUGUAAGAUUUCUCCGGAGUUAUGUCGACUCUCUGAUUGGCAUCAAUCUUAACCCCAAGGCGGACGCGAUCAAAGGUAAAGCUUGCAUAGUCUAUGAUAAGCCAGCUCCUGAUUUGAGGACUAACAACGAGGCUGACAGGAAGAAAUGGUGUGCCCCGGAUUUGGGUUGGUUUAAACUGAACACUGAUGGUUCUUUCGUUUCUUCGGAAGUGGCCGGGGUUGGAAUGAUUCUCCGUAAUCAUCAGGGGAUAAUUAGUUUUUCAGCUUGCAGAUCUCUGUUCUCUUGUCGUGAUGCCCUCGAGGCGGAGCUUUGUGCUUGUAUGGAAGGUGUUUCUCUGGCGUUACAACGUUGUGAUCUUCCAAUAGUGGUGGAGCUGGAUUCCAAGGAGGCCGUGACCAUGAUUUCAUGUGAAGGCGUCGAUCGUUCAGUCUAUGCCCCCGUUGUGCAGGAGAUUAAGCACUUGCUGUCCCUUAGACAAACUUGUAUUACUCAUGUUUCUCGAUCCCAAAAUAAGGCUAGUGAUAGUUUGGCAGUGUUUGCUAGAAUUCAUGGCAGGACUAUGACCUGGCUAGGGUCUGGUCCGGAGGAGACUCUGGUGAUAGUAGCUGAUGAUGGUAAGGACCCCUUGAUUGAGUAAUACAAGUUUCUCAUUCGCAAAAAAAGGUAACAAGUGUAUAGUAGGUUCUGCUUUAAGACAAAAAUGAAUGAGAUCGUGUCUAUCACAACUGGAGAUUGGGUGACCCCAUUAAGUGACAGAGAAUUUCAUCCAUGAUCUGCAUGGGCCCUCCUGGUACCCAGUAAUAUAGCAACCAUAGGCGAACUUAGUGCAUUGGGUUUGGGUGGCGGUGGGAGUCACCUUGAGCGGCCCAUGAGGCACUAGGCUUUCUCUGAUGAGAAUUUUUGUCUUCAUUUUUAGAUUGGUGGUUUAUGAGUUUUCACUCGGCAAAUAGGAGGGUUAAACCAUGUGUUAAUUCAUCUCCUUGGAUUCUUUUGUACUGAAUCCUUUGAUCGUUUGCUUACUGUCGUGUUAAUGCCUACAACAAGCAGGAGCGAAUCCACCAUAAUACAUUGAUAUUUACAUGAAUACCCAUUUUUUGGAUGAAAAAUUAAUGUGUGUACAUCGGUUUAACAUUAAAUAAUAAAUGAAUUACUAAGUCUUGUAAAGGAAGGACAUAGUGUAUUCGGUAGGAGCAUAAGGGAGGUAUUAGGUUCAAUUUGUUUUUACAUUUCUUUCUUUCGUUUAGUUUGUGACACUCUUUUGCUUACAUGCUAAAAACCAUGUCUCCGUGGCGAAAGGAGUUUCUCAAUAAGGCAAAAAUAGACAUUUUCGUUGCAAAAACAUUUAGAUGUACUGUUUUUUAAUAGAGUUUAAAUUAUGAACUUGCAUUUAUGUGAACCUAUAAAUAUGGUAUACAUAGAUUUUGAUAAAUAAAGGCUUUUUGUGUUAUGAGUUACAGUGAACGCGAGGGAUUUUUUUACUCAACCAACCAUGCAUCGUAUGCAACCUUAAAGCCAAAGGUCUUGUUUGCUGGAUGAGAGGUGUUGGAUUCCUCGAGGUUGUGAAGGCUCCAUCUAGUAAUCUUUAAUAUGCAUUGGAAUUGGUUUAUGCCUAGACCAUCAAGUUAGAAUGCAAGUAUGAUCUAAAACCAAUUAAAUGAAAGCUAAUUUACAUACAAUAUUUAGAAGAUAAUGCAUCAAGUUAGUUGUCUCUAAAGAUAUUCCAUUUCUUAGGAGAGCAUCUUAAGAGACAGUGCCUCGAGAGUUACCUAACAUGCAACAUAUGUGUUGUCAAUGUGUCCUUAUUGUUUUUUUAUAACUGUCCAUAUUGAAUAUUGGUAACAAGUGUAGUAGGUUCCGGUUUAAGAUAGAAAUGAAUGAGAUCGUGUCCAUCACAACUGGAGAUUUGGGUGGCCCCAUUAAGUGAUAGAAAAUUUCAUCUGCGAUCUACCAUUUCCACCAAUAUUUCAUAGGACAAAAAUGAAUGAGAUCGUGUCCAUCACAACUGGAUAUUUGGGUGGCCCCAUUAAGUGAUAGAGAAUUUCAUCCGCGAUCUACCAUUUCCACCAAUAUUUCAUGGGACAAAAAUGAAUGAGAUCAUGUCCAUCACAACNNNNNNNNNNNNNNNNNNNNNNNNNNNNNNNNNNNNNNNNNNNNNNNNNNNNNNNNNNNNNNNNNNNNNNNNNNNNNNNNNNNNNNNNNNNNNNNNNNNNNNNNNNNNNNNNNNNNNNNNNNNNNNNNNNNNNNNNNNNNNNNNNNNNNNNNNNNNNNNNNNNNNNNNNNNNNNNNNNNNNNNNNNNNNNNNNNNNNNNNNNNNNNNNNNNNNNNNNNNNNNNNNNNNNNNNNNNNNNNNNNNNNNNNNNNNNNNNNNNNNNNNNNNNNNNNNNNNNNNNNNNNNNNNNNNNNNNNNNNNNNNNNNNNNNNNNNNNNNNNNNNNNNNNNNNNNNNNNNNNNNNNNNNNNNNNNNNNNNNNNNNNNNNNNNNNNNNNNNNNNNNNNNNNNNNNNNNNNNNNNNNNNNNNNNNNNNNNNNNNNNNNNNNNNNNNNNNNNNNNNNNNNNNNNNNNNNNNNNNNNNNNNNNNNNNNNNNNNNNNNNNNNNNNNNNNNNNNNNNNNNNNNNNNNNNNNNNNNNNNNNNNNNNNNNNNNNNNNNNNNNNNNNNNNNNNNNNNNNNNNNNNNNNNNNNNNNNNNNNNNNNNNNNNNNNNNNNNNNNNNNNNNNNNNNNNNNNNNNNNNNNNNNNNNNNNNNNNNNNNNNNNNNNNNNNNNNNNNNNNNNNNNNNNNNNNNNNNNNNNNNNNNNNNNNNNNNNNNNNNNNNNNNNNNNNNNNNNNNNNNNNNNNNNNNNNNNNNNNNNNNNNNNNNNNNNNNNNNNNNNNNNNNNNNNNNNNNNNNNNNNNNNNNNNNNNNNNNNNNNNNNNNNNNNNNNNNNNNNNNNNNNNNNNNNNNNNNNNNNNNNNNNNNNNNNNNNNNNNNNNNNNNNNNNNNNNNNNNNNNNNNNNNNNNNNNNNNNNNNNNNNNNNNNNNNNNNNNNNNNNNNNNNNNNNNNNNNNNNNNNNNNNNNNNNNNNNNNNNNNNNNNNNNNNNNNNNNNNNNNNNNNNNNAACUGGAGAUUUGGAUGGCCCCAUUAAGUGAUAGAGAAUUUCAUCCGCGAUCUACCAUUUCCACCAAUAAUUCAUGGGACAAAAAUGAAUGAGAUUGUGUCCAUCACAACUAGAGAUUUGGGUGGCCCCAUUAAGUGAUAGAGAAUUUCAUCCGCAAUCUACCAUUUCCGCCAAUAUUUCAUUGGACAAAAAUGAAUGAGAGCGUGUCCAUCACAACUAGAGAUUUGAGUGGCCCCAUUAAAUGAAAGGGAAUUUCAUCCGCGAUCUACCAUUUCCACCAAUAUUUUAUGGGACAAUGGCCAUUAAGGAUGUAAGUGGACGACGUCCAUGAGGAAACACACUAACCUUUGUUACUUCGAUAAUCGUGUUAGGCUUAAUUCUCAUAUUGUACAAUGGCCACUCGCGUACGUCUUCCGCUUGCAUGCCUAAUGGCCACUCGCGUACCAUCGUACCUUCGUCAUGAAUCACAUUGGGAAUUUUUAUAUCAUAUAAGACUCGAUCUUUUUUUUCUCACCAAGUUAGACCCAACUAUAACUUAGAAAUUUUUUUGACCUUAUACAAUGCAAGGUACUCAGAUAAAUAAACUAGUUUUUUUUAAAUAUCGAUGCUUAUUUGUAGAGGAUAGACUCUUAAUUAGACAUCCCUCCGGUAAAGAAAAACACUGAUGUUUAACAAAAACUCGAUUUAUUUUACUAAUCACCUUCUAAGAACAUGACACCUCUCAUCACCAGUCUCAUUCAUUAACAUGACACCUGUGAACCUGUCAUAACUCGAAUUUAAAGCAUUGUAAGGCCUAAGAACAUAUGACACCUGUCAUCACCAAUCUGAACGUACCGGCACCCUCUAUCGUUCGACACCCAGUCGCAAUACGCGUGACAGUCUUGGCUUAUGAAAUACCCAGUCGGAGACUGCAGAGUACCCAACGAGCGCUGAGUGCGUGCUGUGUGAGUGAAUUGCGGAGAGAGAGCGAGCGAGAUGGAGAGAGGCGCCAUGGGCCGCGGCGAGGGGUCGGAGGAGGCGAGGGGCAGGGAGCGGGAGUGGGAGGAGGCGGCGGAGGCGGUGGCGUACGACUCGUGCACCUGGCCGCCGCCGGUGGUGGUGGUGUGCGGCCCCGGCAACAGCGGCAAGUCCGCGUUCUCCCGCCUCCUCCUCAACACCCUCCUCGCAAGGUGAAAUGCACGGAGAAUUCGCCUGUCCUCUCCUCGUCGCAUUCUGCUCUGCUUCACUCCAAAGCAGCUGAAUGUGCACAUUGUCGAAUAAUUUUAGAGGCAGACUUUAAAUUCGAGUUAUUCAUGCUCGGAAAUGGGACGGUGCUGCUUUGCUAAAUUUCAGUAUAAAUAAGCAUUGCAUUUUAGUUUAUAAAUAGUAAAAUUGUUUGACCGCAAUGCUUUGGUAUAUGAUUUGAAUACUUAUUUUAUACACUACGAAUUCAGUUGACAUGCUAUCUGUAUUUACUAUUUAUAGUGAAAAAAGAAUCUGCAUUUGAAAAGCGCAAAAUGGAGUUAGUUACAAAGAUUAUUGAGCUUUGAUUUUGUCGAUUAAACCCUCAUGAAGUAGCUAUGUACCAAUAGUUUUUUACUUUCUUGGUUGUUUUAUGGCUUUGGGAAGUGUGAGAAAGUACUAGUAGUUUUUAUGGGGUCAGCACUAGUCUGGUUGCAUAUAGUUAAAAUGUUGUGCUAGCUGGUAAGUUUGGUUGCACUAGCCUCAUCUUUUUUUUAAUGGGAGAAUAAACUAGUUCAACUGCUAGUUCACACAAGUUGCAUAAUUUGUACAGAUCAGAAUUUUUUGAUUUGCUCUGUUUUAUUUGCCGUUAGCUUAUCUACUUUCAGAUCAGUUCUUGUGAUUCUUUCACUUCAAUUAACAGGUAUAAGAGGGUGGUGUACCUGGAUACCGAUGUUGGCCAGCCUGAGUUCACACCUCCAGGUUUUGUAUCACUUCAUGUACUUGAGGAACAAGCUAAAGGUACAGGCUCAGGGUUUUCAACUUUUAAUUCCCCUUCAAAAUGUUUCUAUCCCUGGCUGAACAUUCUGUUCAUUUUUUUUGAUAAUUCAGAUUUGACAAUGCUAUACCUGCGGGCUCCAAAGAGGUAAUUGUAUUUCAGGAGGUUUAGUUUUGCAGAGUCUUAUAUGGUUUCAUAUAAUAUUUGCAAUUUACUCACCGAACUACCUUUUGGUGCUGCUAGGAACAAUCCUGUGCUUAAUUUAAAAUAGAUUACUGUAUGUGAGAAAGCUAUUUCAUUUGUCAAUUUUUUUUCCUAAAUUUCUUAUUCUAAUAUUGUUAACCAUUCAGGGGUCAAAUUAAUAUUUUGUUCUCUUCCAAGAUAUUAUGAAUACUCAAACAUUAUGAAGUUUGAUUUUCUACCAAUUCUGCAAUAGCUACAUUUACCCGUUAAGAGUCUUAUCUUUAGCACAGUAGUUCAAGUGGCCAUCACAUGAACUAAUAUAUCUAUAUCAGAUACUUACUGAAAUAAACAUAUGUACCAGUUGAUAUUUCAUUGUGUUCUCAUGUAUGGUCUUCUGCAAGCUGUCUAAUACAUUUUCCCCACAUAUUCUAGGUGCUUCUUUUUUGGUGAUGUUGCUGCACACAAGAACCCAAAACUUCUCUUGAGCUACAUCUUUGGGCUUUAUGAUUAUUUUCUUAAAGAACUCUAUCGCUUCAAUGAGGCUGAUAACCCUCACAAAUCAGCUAUACCGAUUGUUAUCAACACUUCAGGAUGGGUGAAAGGUGAGAUUUCAUUGAUUGCACUACUUUGCAUCAAGGUUUGUGCUGGUAAUUCACAUGGCUAAUGUGGAAGGUUGGAGGGGAAAAUAUGAUAGGAUGAGUUUUGGAUUUUGACUUGCAUAAUGGGACAUUCACCUGUAAUACUAAUAUCUGUUAUUGCUAAUUGACUGCAUUUUCCUAUUCUUUUCUCGCAAACGUCCAGUUUCAUGUUGUACCGUGUGAAUUUUAGGCAUUGGACUUCAUGUUCUGUCAGAGAUACUGAGAUACGUAUCCCCAACCGAUGUUAUUCGGCUAAACACCACAGCAGAGGGUAAAAAUUUACCAGGUGGUGCGUUUUGGCUGGAUGCACACAAGGGAGAUUCACAGGUUAAUCUAGUUGAAAUUCGCGCUGCACAGAACUCUCCUCGACAGUAAGUCUUUAACUGUUUUGAGCCCAGUUUCAACAAAAAAACAACUGUUUUGAGUCAUUCAUUUUAAUGAAAUGAUAUAUCUUUAAAUCGUUCUUAUAGUCAUGACUAUGUAAAUGCAGUCUGUUGGUGAAGAAAGAGGCGCGGAUGAUUCGUGACCUCAGACUGAUUGCAUACUUCAGGCAGUGCUUGCCGAGGGACUUUCCUAUUUUCUCUUCUGAUGAUUUAGUGCAAGGCAUUGCUGCUAUAGACCCAUUUCAGCUUCCUAUUUCAAAAAUACAGGUUAUUGAUCUGCACAGCCAGGUGACUGCUUCUCCAUCUAUUUUAUUCUGAUCAUGUAGCAGUGAAGCGUUGCUGAAUACUCCCUCCGUUCCAAAAUAGAUGACCCAACUUUAUACAAACUUUGUAUAAAGUUGGGUCAUCUAUUUUGUAACGGAGGGAGUAUAUGACAAAAUGUUGCUUGUCCAUUUACUCCUUACUGUACUCCAUUUUCCAAACAGUAUAUUUCGUAACAGCGAAACAAAUCACCUUGCAUACCUUUCUGAAUACUGAGCUUUUAGCAACGCCGAGUUUGCAUUCUCCUUUUACACUAGUGCGAAUAAAGAGCCACAAAAGGAUGAUAUCUUGGAUAGUAAUCGGAGGCUCCUUUGAAGCUUCAACAUUGAGCCAAAUCAUCAAAAUGGAUUGGAUUGUGAGUCUUUGGGUCAAAGGAUGCAGGAGACCUCAGUUAUGGUUACAAUCUAAAUGUGUGAAACGUAGGGGCCUCCCCCCUAUGGUUGUUUUGCCAAAAAUAUAUCUGCGUACAUAGUGUCACGUGGUAGGGUAGUAAUGUGCACAAAUCUUAUCUUCUAAGUUGUAGCUAUAAUUUUCCUCAUUUGUAUGUAGAGAACUUAAUGUUUACGCAAUUACUUUUAUUUUGCAUAAAUAAGAUAAACUGCUGACCAGAAUGCUAAUGAAUAUGUACCGCUUGUCUAAUACAACAGAAUAAAACAAUUUACUACUUGCAAAAUUAAUCUACCUAAAUAAGUCGACAUAAUGCAGUGGUAGUUUAGCAACUUACAGUUUCAAAUGGUAUAAAACAGUUUGGGCAAAUUAACUCUUAAUUCCAGUUCAUUAUGUGUAGAUAAAACUUAUUUGGUACGGACUAUCAAUGCUCAGAAUAUUGAUUUUGGGGUCUGUCUAUUAAUAUAGUUUCUAUGGGUGUUCUUGUAUAGAUUUCUGGUGAUUCAGUAUAUGACUUCUUGGCUGGUACUAUCGUCGGUAUUGGAUCAAGUUCAUCUGUCCCUUUGUCAACGGAAUGCUCAUCCCCUUGGUGCAUGGGACUUGGUAUGUAAGAUUUAUUCUUUCCUUGUUUAGUGUUUUUGUUAAAGUAAACUGAUAAGACUAACUAAUUUAUUGUAUGUUACUGGUCUCGUGCUGAGUUGGACAUUAGGUUUCGUCAAGGCUAUUGAUAUUCCAGGAGACUGCAUUCAUCUGAUAACACCUGUUCCUCAUCAGCUUCUAGAAAAUGUUGACAUCAUUUUUCCAAGUUGUAUCGCACUACCCGACGGCCUCUUUCAGGUAAUAAACAGUCGUCAGAAUUAUAUUUCUUUGUUUUUCUCUGCAAGCAUGGACUACUGUUUAAACUUCCUUAUGAUUGUAUAUUAAUCACCACAAGGGCAAAUAAAUUACUGCUUAGGAUGUGAUAGCCAAAUUCUUGGUUAGUUGUAUUCUCUUCUCGAGAAUUACCAUUGCCUACAAUUGAAUAUAUUUCCGGAAAUUCCCAAGGUCAAUAUUUCCGACGCCUUUAAAUUGUGCAUAUGUCCCGUCCAGGCACAUUUUAGCCUCUUUUAAUUGAUGAACCAUGUUUUGAGUUGGGAAAUCUAGCCGCAUGAUCCUGCAUCAGUAUUGAUUUUGAACUAAAACCAUGACAGUUAUUUUGGAAUUGAUGGAGUAACACAUAUGCCUUUGACGCAAUGCCUCUCCUCUCCUUUUGAUCAUGACAAAGUAUCUCUAGUUCCAAUAUUUCAACCUGCUUCCAAAAGCAUUAGGGAUUGAUGGGGCCUUUCCCACGCACUAAGGUUCAGUCCAUCGCUAGGACCAUAUGGUCAGCUAGAAUGGUACUCCACCUAUGAAAACACAGUGGAUGACCACGUGGAACAAAAAAACUCCACUUCUCCACCUACACUCUGCUGAACUUGUGCUUGUAUGUGUGGAGUACGAUGGAUCUGUUAUUCCAUCGAUGCGUCUCAUGAUCCGUUCUCACUCGAACCUUGUACUUGCAGGUGCCAAACACAGUGGAUGAUAUAACUGCCAGGCUGAGAGAUCUGUAGAGACCUGCAGAUGUCUACAAACAAUUAUGACCGUCGGGGAUAAGCAACUUCACAUAUCUCGGUUGCCAUGAACAACCAGCCUAUGAAAAAACAUCACUAUACCUUUGACAUGUAUGGAACUUCAUAUCAGUGUAAUUUCUGCCAAACUGGCCUUGAACAACCUGAUCAGAUUACACAAGUUGAUGGCCAGGACAAAGACAUGUACUGUAUUGCAAUCUCGUCCUGUUACUGAACCUGUAAUUUUUAUUUUGUUUUAGUAUACAGAUGUCGUAUGACAGACUAACAUUACAUGUCCUGGAAAUAUGUCUAGCUAUCCUUGUUGCCUACAUGGCUACAUUAGUAGAGUCCACCACGCGAUCUGAAUUCUCCCAUCUUUCUCCACAGUUGCUAGCCAUGCAGCAGAUUGUAUGGAUGCCGCAAAACUAGCUCUACAAAAGAGGGGAAACGAACAUAGCAUGACCCAUUCUUAUGCAGCUGCACAUACCUUUAGAGAACUAUAACGUGAAAGGAAAAUAACAGAAGAAUUGUGGAAAGAAAGGAGAGAAAAUAAAACAUCAUCUAGAAAUCUGUCACUUCUGUUAAUGGCCGAAGCCAUUCAGCUGAACACUAAUGUUGAUUUAUGGAGUCUGUACAGUAUGAUGCAAUGUAUCCAUGGCCGGAUUCGCCAAAAACUAUCUGCAAUAACAAUCAAGUCGUCAGAUCAAGUGAUGAAAAGCAUGAGAAGCAACAGGGAAAACAUAAUCAUUAAAAUAAGCAAAUCCUAUUUCCAUCUGAAAGAAGUAAUUAAUCAAGCAAGCAGACUAAAAUUAACUGAACAUGUCAUUAUGGCUCCAAACCAGAAACAUAAUGGAUGAAAUUAGGCAGCUUAAGAAUGAUGCAUCAAGCAAUGGCAUAAAACCGUUCUUCCCACUUGACAACAGAAAGGGAAUUAAAGUACGGCUGAAAAGAUGAUCAGGCGCAUUUUAGAACAAUCUACACAAGUAAAUUGUUUCAUCUGCUUCGGAAGAAUAAUUAGAAAGUUUAUCAUAAACCUACACAAAGGGCGCUUUAGAUGCACGCAGUUCCAAAUUAAUGUCGGAUAAAAAGGAUUUGGGUAUAGUUUCCCUUGUGACGGCCUAGGGCGUGGCGGUAUUUGUGAUGUUUCUGCUUGGGACACAUUUUAUUUGGCAGUUUGCUGAUUGAAGCUAAUGCUCUUCAGGAAUAGCUAUUCCAGCUGGUGCCACUGAGAUGGUGAAGUAUCAGAAUGCUUGAUUCAGGAAUUCAUGGUGAUCGGGGCUGAGUAUGGCAAUGCCAUUCAGUUUUAGCACAGUAGAUUAGCUAUUACCUCCUGACAAUUGUAUCGGAAAUUAAUAAGCCAUUACUAGCUAAUGGAAACAAAAUGUCAGAAUCCAUCAUCUAUGUACCAAUGCCUAAAAGAUUGAACCGCGGGAACAAGGGUAUGUCUGACAGGACUAACAGAAGUGACUUGGGAAAAUGUAUCACUUCUCCCUAAUACAGCAUAACCGAUCUAGGUAAAACUAGUCUGUAUAAAGUCUCUCAUUAGCCUCUUGUUAGGUACUACUACAACAACAUAUUUGCCAAACACAAAUGCCAGAGCAAAUUAACACAUAGCCGGGUAUUUUAGGAUACAGAGCAGGGAGGGUAAUCAACAAAGGUGUCCGCAAUCGCUUGAUAUCAAAAACUGUGCAAGAAAAGAAGACAUGGAAAGAUUCAGAGAAACUAGAGCAGAGCACCUGCACGAAGGAAUGAAUCAGAAGGGAGGACCCGGAACGAGAUUUUUCACCCCACAACGAAGGGGCCGAUCUCCCCGGCACGCAUGCCGCGGGCGAUCUCGUUGGCGACCAGCAGGCACGCCGACACCCACCCGGCGAGCACCGCCCACACCAUGUCCACCAUGUACGCCGCCAGCCCCCGCGGCAUGGUCAUCCUUUCCCUUCCUUGCUCUGCCUAGCCUUCCCUCCUUACUCCGCUGGCGCUGCCGCUGCAGUUGCAGAGGAGGUAGGCAAUUCCACAAACACCUAGCCUGCAGCUUUGAAGACACGAAAUGAAGACCGGGAACCGAAUCAAAGAGGGGAUAGUAAAAGUAAAUUGCCUCUUCACCUUGGUGAUGGACCGGAGCGACCCCCAAGCAGCACGCAACCGACGCCGGAAUCUUGAACGGAGCACGGAGACCGAGUGUCGGCCUUCGCUUUAAGCACCACCUGACGUAGGGCAGCGGCACUCGGCGGCGGCUCCUCCAUCCACCAUCGGCUCCUUGAUCAAGAGGCAACUCGGUGGGUGGAUGUUCUCUUCUUGCUUUUGCCCGUCUCCUCGCCAGCCUUGCAUUCCGUGUCCGCAUCGCCUCGCAGGGGCAAACGGGGGAUCGCCACGUGGUGGAGAAGCCGGAGCUUUAUCCAAUCAUUUAUCGGUUGGAUUUUAGUGGUAAUACUACCAGAUUAGAGAGGAAGGAGGAUUUGGAUUUGGGCAAGGCGUCACAAGUGAUUAGCAUCAGCAAGAGCCCAUGAUUGCGUACAAGCGAGGGGAUCUUGACAUUGACAACGACAUUGCCAGUGGUUUUACCAAGACCACGAGCCGGCUCAGCCGUAGUUUAUGGGACCAUGUCAAUCUUUAGAUUUCGGCCGACCUUUAGUGCCAUACAUGUGAUACUCUAAUGAUCUAAACGAUCUUAUAUUUCUUUAUAGAGAAAGUACUCCCUCCGUCCCAAAAUUCUUGUCUUAAAUUUGUUUAGAUACGGAUGUAUCUAAUACUAAAACGUGACUUGAUACAUCCAUAUCUAGACAAAUCUAAGACAAGAAUUUUGGAACGGAUGGAGUAUAUUUUUAGAUAGGGAGUACUCCCUCCGGUCAUUUUUAGUUUGCAUAUAAGAUUUGACUGAAGUCAAGCCUCAUAAAGUUUGACCAACUUUAUAGAAAAAAGUACCAACAUUCAUAAUCUGAAAUUAAUAUCAAUAGACGUGCCAUGACUUAAAGUUUCAUAUUGUAUAACUUUAGCAUGGCAGAUGUUAAUAUUUUUUCAUAUAAAUACAGUCAAACUUUGUGCAGUUUGACUUCAGAGAAUUCUAAUAUGCAGAGUAAAAAGGACCGGAGGAAGUAUAUGAUACUACAUCUGCCUUGUAUAGUAUUAUAUGCUAUAUCAUCUAUAGCCGGACUCCUUAAUGUCCUCUAUAUGUCCGGACGGUUGACCCUGUCAGUGAAGAAAAUAUGACCCAGCUACACCCCCACCCCCCAAAUCGGCCCUAAAAACUUGGGUUGUUUGGCCUGCUGGUCCGCAUCCUCAUCAUUCGCCUACCCUGGGGGAAACCUGUCCUCGGUAGCCCCGAGUCCUUCAAGCUUUCGCUAGUGGCGCUAACUCCUUUAGAUUGAGGAAGAUUCUGCUGAAAGAACCGACUGCAGAAGGCAUUGGGUCGCCUAUGGAGAGGCCUUGAUGGACUCGAUUAAUACUUAAAGAAGGUAAGUAGGAGGCAGAGGCUUGUGGCUUGUGAUGAAGCAUAUCCUAGUGAUGUCGGAGAACUCCUGAACCUGAGUAGGUGGUUGCCAGUUGUCCUCAAGAGGAAGGUUCUUUUGAUCUUCAUCUUCGGAACCAAGUCUCCGGACUAGGGCAUUCAUAAUGUAAAAGAACAUAACAUGAAGUUGCACAUAUGUUUAUGACCCAUUCUUAUGCAGUUGCACAUAUCUUUAGAGAACUAGUAUAAUGCAAAAGGAAAAUAAAUUAUUUACAUUACUACACAGAACAGAAGAAUUGUGGAAAGAAAGGAGAAAGAAAACAUCAUCUAGAAUCUCUGUCACUUCUAUCAAUGGCCAAGCCAUUCAGCUGAACACUAAUGGAGAUUUAGGGACUCUGUACAGUAUAAUGCAAUGUGUAUCCAUGGAUGGAUCCGCCAAAAAACUACCUGCAAUAACAAUUAAGUCAUCAGAUCAAGUGAUGAAAAGCAUAAGAAGCAACAGGGCAAACAUAACUAUUAAAACAAGCAAAUCCCAUUUCAAUCUGAAAGAAGUUAUUAAUCGGGCAAGCAGAUGAAAUUAACUGAACAUGUCAUUAUGGCUCCAAACCAGAAACAUAAGCAGUUAAUUUAGGCAGCUUAAGAAUGAUGCAUCAAGCAAUGGGCAUGAAACCUUUCUUCCCACUUGAUGACAGAAAGGGAAUUAAAGUAAGGUUAAAAAAUGACCAGGCACAUUUGCAACAAUCUACACAAGUAAAUUGUUCCAUUUGCUUUGGAAGAAUAAUAAAAAUGUUGAUCAUAUGUAAGCCUACACAAGCUAAUGAUCUUCGUGGGUAGCUAUUCCAGCUGGUGCCACUGAGACGGUGAAGAUUUCAAAAGCAUCAAAUGAAUGUUUCAUUAGGAAUUCAGGCUGAUCGGGGCUGAGUAUGGCAAUGCCAUUCAAUUUUAGUACAUUACAGGCCUACAGAAUGACACUCUUUAAAAUGGAAACAAUAAAACUUGGAACGUAGAUUUGUUUUUGAAAAGGUGUAACAUCUAUAGCCAUGGAAGUAACUAUUACCUCUUGAAAAUUGUACCAGAAAUUAAUAAGCCAUGACUAAUGAAAAAAAAAAGUCAGAUUCCAUCAUCUAUGUAAUGCCUAAAAGAUUGAGCCGCAGAAACAGGGGUACGUCUGAGUCAUAACUGAUCCAUGUAAAACUACUCUGUAUAAAAUCUCUCAUUAGCUUCUUAUUAAACGUCUUACAUUUUGAGACAGAGGGGAUACUAGUAUAGAUUUUCCAAACAUAAAUCCCAGAGUAAAUUAACACAUAGCCUGUUAUUUCAGGAUACAGAGCAGAAACUGGUAAUCAAGAAAGGUAUCCGCAAUCGCUUGAUAUCACGAAUUGUGCAAGAAAAAAAAGGACAUAAUAUGGCACCAUAGUUUUCUCUUAGAGAGGAAGCACCGAGUUAUUACUAGCAAAGAAACUAAGAGCAGAAGGUUGAGAGCAGAGCACCUACGUGAAGGAAGGAGUCAGAAGGGAGGAUUUCCCGUUCCCGAAGUGAGAUUCAGCCGACGACGAAGGGGCCAAUCUCCCCGGCCCGCAUGCCGCGGGCGAUCUCGUUGGCGACCAGCAGGCACGCCGACACCCACCCGGCGAGCACCGCCCACACCAUGUCCACCAUGUACGCCGACAGCCCCCGCGGCAUGCCCAUCCUUUCCUCGCUGCUCUCCCUAGCCCUUCCUUGCUUACUCCGCUGCCGCUGCUGUUGCAAUUGCAAAGGAGGCAAUUCCACAAACACCUACCCUGCAGGCUGCAGCUUUGAUGAGAGGACGAGUAAGCAAUGAAGAGAGGAUGACGAGCAAAGGCUGGGUCUUGCCAAGGGCGUUUGCUUCAAUUUCAUCGAAAUGAAAGAGAGAACGAGAAAGCAAUUGCUUGUUUACCUUGGUGAUGAUGAACCGGAGCAAGCUCCUCCAACCAGCACGGACCCUUUGCAAUCAACGGAGGAAUCUUGAACAGAGCCAGUCAGGAAGUUUGUUGUGUUGGCCUUCGCCUUUGCUCCCGGAUUAGUCGCCGGCACAACUCUGCUGUUUGUUGCCCCUCCCCUCGCCACGCGACUGCAUAUGGUAAGCACACAAGAAGAUUGGUGGGUAAGCACGCACAGCUGUGCCCCCUGACGUAGGGCAGCGGCGCUCAAGUGGCAUGCUCCAUCCAUCCACCAUCGGUUCCUUGAUCAGGAGGCAAGUAGGUGGAUGUCUUCUUCUUGCUUUUGCCAACCUCCCAUUCCAUUCCAUUUCCGCAUCGCCUCUCGCUGUCGGGUCCUGGCGACAACGAACCGGAGACCGCCGCGUGGGACCCGCAGCUCUUGCUUUAUCGGUUGAUGAUUACCUGGAUUGGAUUAGUACCAGAUUAGAGAGGCAGGAAGAUUUGGAUUUGGGCAAGUGCGUCACGCUGUGAUUAGCAGGAGCCACCAGGGGAUUCAUUCCAAUUCCAUGAUUGCGUUGCGUGCAAGCAGAGGGGAUCUUGACGACGACGUGCCGGCGGGUUUAACAAGGCCGCGAAAAAUCGAGUCAGCGGCAGAGGGGAUGUUCGAGCGAGGUUUCAUCGGCGCCUCGCUUAGUUUAUCACACGUCGCUGUGAGAUCUCUCGGUCAAGAUUUGAUGGCGUUUUUGGCUGACACGAUGGAUCCUACUAUUAGUAUUCUUGGGGGCAAAGAUUUGCAUUGCUACCAGACCAGUCUAUUUUUACUGAUUGAAGAUCAUCGUACAUAAGUCACAGUUCAAAACGUCGAAACUGCAUUAGCGUGGAUGACAACACAUGGAGCUAUUAGAGCAUCUACAGCCGUGAUUACCAAAUCUGCCCCCCUAUACGUCCGCGGACGCCGGACGCGACAAUGGAAAAAUAUAUCGACAUCAAACGAACAAUGAAAUGCACAUAAACCAACUUCACAUCAUUCAAAAGAUCACCACAGUUCAUCUCCAGACAAGUUCUAAACUUAAACAUCUAAAAAACGAUAAUAUAAACGGAGGAGGAGCGGAUCACCACUUCCUCGCGGGCUCUUCGCCCUUCCGAUCGCCGGCGCAUGGGUUGCUCCGCCAUGUCCCUCUCCCUUGCCCACUGCCUCUCGCGGCGGGCGGCGCGCCUCUGAUUCCGGCGUGCGCGUUCGGGCCGGCGGAGCGGGCACUAGCACCGAUCGUUGCCUUGCGAAGCAGCGGCCGACAGGGAAGGGGAGAUGUGACAUCUCAAUCCCACGUUUAUCUUAUUCGUACGUUUUCAUAUUCCCGCAAUCCGAAGAGGCCCUUACAUGAAAGGCAACACCAAAGCCAAAAGGCUGGAUCUGCUUUGUGAUUGUCACAUUAUAUUCACACACUCGCUCCACCUACCUUGUUCAUGUCACUAGCAUUCAGGGCCGUCUUCAGAAAUUCGGGGCCUCGGGCGAAAACCAAAAAGAAGGGCCCAAAAUUUUGAACAAUUCCUAUAAUAGAAGAAUUAAUAUGCAUAAAGCAGUCUCAUUUUGUUAGAUAAUUUCAAGUCUGUUUUAUUUUGUACAAUAUUUAGACAUAUAUCAAACAAGCAUGCUAAAAAACAGUAAAUGAUAGUGCAACAACAAACUAACCUCAUGUUCUACCAAAGAGGAGCAUCCAUCUAGUCUUCGUGAAAGUAAAUCUUCAAUGAUAUCUUUGUAGUUAAUCUUUUCCGAGAUAUUGUUUUCAAGUGCUGUUGCCGCCAAUCCGUUGAGUAUUAUCUGCAACUCCUUUAUUGACAAAAUUACCAUCAUCAAACCUUUCCAUCAGGAGCAGUCAACCUCUGCUGCAUUAUCAUCACGACCAUUAUCAACAUUCACAUCUGCAGUUUAACUUUCAAAAUCAAGUUGAGUGUCUCUCACAAUAUAUCCAUAAGGGCAUCCGUUUGAGAUUGAGCCUCAACUUCCGGUAGCUUUGCAGCACCAAAUCAUCUUUGUAAUUCUAGUAGACAUGAUGAAUAUUCAUGAAGAAAACCUAACAUAUUAUAAAUGAUCAAACUGAAUAAAAUUAGCUUCAUAUGGUUAUGAUCUGGAGAAUGACCAGAUCUUCAAAUACAUGAAAAUAAACUGAAAAAAUAACCUGCCACUUGAAGAUUAAAAUACAGUCAGUAGUCCGGACAUGGGCGUGUUUCUGAAUGAUUUUGUUGGUGGUCUUCCUGAUCGAAGCAAGGAACGGCACCACAGUCCGCGGCUGUUGCGUUUUUAUGGCAGCAAGACGAUCAGCCGAUGGGAUCGGAUGGGAUCGUCGUAGGCUACUGCGCCGGCAGGAGCACGACUGCUUAGGGCCUCGCCGUAUUAUUUGCCGAGACGCCGGUAGAAUCGAUCGAUAUGCCUCCUGUCCUGGAUUAAGGCUUCCAGGGCCUCCGAUCAGGGCAUCGGGCCUUGAUCUGUUGUUUGGGCCUUUCCUGUAAUGGUUUUUUGGCGACUUUUAACAAGACGAGGCAAUGAACCAAGCUUUCAUCUUCAGGUUUUUUUUAUCGGUGGAGGCCCCCUGAUUUUGGAGGCCCUGUGCGGUCGCUCACUUCGCUCCCCCUCAUCGACGGGCCUGCUAGCAUUUUCAGGUGACUAGCCUUCAUUGUCACAUUAUAUUCACAUCCGGCUCCACCCACCUUGUUCAUGUCACCGGCAUUUCAGGUGACUAGCCUUCACGUGCGUUCGGUGGGGGUGUUCUUCCUGUCGAAGCAGGCUCGACAACGCCAUUGCAUGGAGUUCAAUUGUGAGGUUGGCUAGACCAGGCUUGACGGCGACCCCAUUGACCCGCUGCGAAGAGGACGACCAGCGGCCGAUCCCACCGAAAAAAGACGCUUGCUAUAGUGCCCGGCUUGCUAUACUGCGCCGGCAUGCUACGACGAAGCGGCCUAGUCGGGAGCACGCCUGUGCUAAGCACCGACUGUUUUGACGCAACGUGUAUCGUAUAGGAGCUCAUGGAAACGAGAGCUCCUAGUCGGCGCUUUAAGCGCCAGUUAGGCCUUUCUCAGUGCUCCAUGGUGGACAGGUGCUAAGCAUGGCACAUAAAUGAAAAAAUGACAUGGCAGAACAAUUAAGAAGGAGAGAGAACACUUUGGUGACACCAGGAAGAACCAAUGCCAAGUACGUGAAUCUAGGCAAACCACUUAAAUGAAACAACUUGACCAAUAGAUGAAAGACUUUAGGUGCCAACUCAUUAAAUAAGGUGUGCUUAACAAAAGUUAAGCACCUAUGCAUUGAGGAGUUGAGUUGCUAAGGUAUUUAAUGCACUUAGCACCUCAUCCAAGCACCUUUGCAUUGGAGGAGGUCUUAGGAAGCUGGCACUCGCGCGCAUGCUGGCGGCCCGCGACCCAAUAUCACGCUAGCUUGCUCGCCCGCUAGUUUUUUUGUUUCUCUAAAAAAAGCUAGUUUAUUUUUUUUCUGAUAUUUUGUGAAAUUGGUCAGCCAAGAAAGAAAAACAGCCAGUUUUUCAUGGUACUUCUAAUUUUGUUGUGUAAUUUAAAACAUUUACAGAUUUAAAAAUAAUUCAUGAAUUUGAAAAAUAGAUCGUGAAUUUGAGAAACUUCAAGGAUUUGAAUAUAUGUUCUUGAAUUUGUGGAUUUGAAAAAAAGUUUAUGAAUAUGGACAAACUUCAUGAAUUCAAAAAAAUUAGCGGAUUUAAAUAAAUUUUCUUGAAUAUAUGAAUUUUCAAAACUUCACAAAUUUCAAAAAAAAAAUAAGGGAUUUGAAUAAAUGUCCACAAAUUUGUGGAUCUGGAGAAAGUUGAUGAAUUGGAAAAAUGACGAAUUAAAAAACGAUGAAUUUGGAAAAGGUUCAUAAAUUUUAAAAUGUUCAAAAAUUCGAAUUUUAAAAAGUCUGAAUUUUAAAAAUUCAUGAGUUUGAAAAAAAGUCAGGAAUUUCAAAAUUAUUGAUGAAAUCAAAUUUUAAAAAGUUCAUGAAUUAAAAAAUGAGUUUGAAAAAAGAUAAUGAAUUUGAAAUUGUUCAUCAGUUAAAAAUUUAAAAAUAACGAAUUUGGAAAAAUGUCUGCAAAUUUGAAAAUUGUUCCUAAUUUAGAAUUUUCUAAUUUUCAUGAAUUUGGAAAAAAAAUCUCAAAUUUGAUUUUUGCAAAUUCGGAUUCAUUUGUGUUUUCUAAAAAUGUUUCACGAAUUUUUAAAAUUCACAAUUUUAAAAAGAUCACAAAUUCAAAAUAAAGUUCAAGAAAAAUAAAAAUGAAAAAAUAUGCAAAAAAUGAAAAUGAAAGCGGAAAAGAAAAAUAAAAAAAC
RNAcentral lists this long non-coding RNA (56776 nucleotides) under Triticum aestivum (bread wheat). RNAcentral's name for it is "long non-coding RNA (TAES_LNC009965)". The stretch from base 49791 to 49925 matches the Rfam family "MIR1120/MIR1122 microRNA precursor family". Lineage: Eukaryota; Viridiplantae; Streptophyta; Magnoliopsida; Poales; Poaceae. The record is from RNAcentral.